This 64598-nucleotide long non-coding RNA is filed under the name Triticum aestivum (bread wheat). RNAcentral describes it as "long non-coding RNA (TAES_LNC011432)". Lineage: Eukaryota; Viridiplantae; Streptophyta; Magnoliopsida; Poales; Poaceae. The record is from RNAcentral.
ACACUGGUGUACAACAGUCUGAUGGCUUUGUACAAAAAGGCGGGCCAGCCAGAGAAAAUCCCCUCCACAUUUGAAGAAAUGCGAGAAAGUGGUAUAACUGCUAACAGUUUUACAUACUUCACAUUGUUAGAAAGCUAUGUUACAAUGAAUGACCUGGAGGCUGCGGAGAAAGUCCUGGAAGAAUUGCAGAAGGUGGCUCCAGUUCACUGGUCCCUAUAUACUCUAAUGGCAAACAGUUAUAUUAAACUAGAGCUGUGUGGAAAGGCAGAAGUUGCCCUAAAGAAAGCUGAGGAAGUUAUGAACAAAGAUGAGUUAUCCUCAUGGUAUUUCCUCCUCUCCAUCUAUGCCCGUUGUGGAAAUGCAACUGAGGUUAAGAGGAUUUGGGAGUCUUUGAAGUCCACAUUCAAGAAAUGUUUGAACAGAAGCUAUCUUGUGGUGCUUCAAGCUCUGAGUACUAUUGAUGACUUUGAGUCUUUACAGCAAAUCUUUCAGGAGUGGGAAUCGAGUCAUGAACAAUAUGACAUGAGGAUAACAAAUGUUAUGAUCAAAGCUUACCUUGAUAAGGGUAUGAUAGACGAAGCUGAGGCUAUCCGUCAGAGGACCAUGGCUAAGGGUCGUUGUGAUGACAGGACAAUUUACAUAUUUGCCGAAUUCUAUUUGGAAAAAUCUAAUUUUACCGGGGCACUGGAGAUCUUGAGAGAUGCAAAGAAGAUGGUGACGGCACACAAAUGGGUGCCAUCCAAAAAGCUUACAAGCAGAUUUCUGAAGCACUAUGAAGAGUCAAAUGAUGUUGACGGCGUGGAGUCUUUCUGCGAGUGCCUGAGGAAGCUCGAAUGCCUUGAUACGGAAGCUUAUGAGGGCAUGAUGCGGACCUAUAUAGCUGCAGGUAGAACCAACCCAUCCAUUGCUCAGCGUAUCGAAGAUGAUGGGAUUCACGUUGGACCUGAGACUACGAAAUUGCUGGAGCGUGUCUCCGGCAAUUGAAACUGAGAAGGAAAGAAACUUCAUAAAAACUCGAGGCUGCCGUAGAAUUUUUCUUCAUUAUAGAUCAGAAUUAUGACUUGUCGAAGAUGUCGUUAUCUCGUGAAAAGCUUGCUUUUACCAGAUUUCUGUACAUGAAUCGCAAGGUCUUUUUGGCAUUUUGCAUUUGAUGCUCUGCUAGCCCCCCGACUACUGUGUAGCAUCUAUCUAAGCUGCUAAUAUGAUGGAGUUAUUUCCAAAAUCCAAUUAUUUUCAUGUUACUCAUGUAGUCGACGAGUUGAUUGAGUACCCAGGUAUUCUCUAAUGUUUAAUGUUGCCGACCAUUCGUGAAGAGGCGCAAGGAAGCAGUGAGUGAUUUCUGAUAUAUUAUUUGCUUGCACCAGGUAGUGUUUUUUUAGGGGAACUGGCUCACAUUAUUAAUCAACCAUUUGGGGUACAAUGCAAUGUCAGGCGAAUGUAAGAGCCAGACUUUGGCAAGCUUUUCUGUAUUUGAAAGCUUAGCAACAAGACUCAAAGGCUUAGAUAAUAUAAUCACGCGGUGGUUGUUUGUCGAUCAGGAAUAAGUAUCAGCACCAAACUUGUAUAAGCUGCAGUCGGAAUUGUAAUUUGUUAUCCCUAGUGACAACGGUUAAUGGAUAAAGAGACAAAGAGAUGUGCUCCCUGUUGUGAGCCUACAACUGUAAAUAAUUUCCAUGCAGCUCUGCAAAUUCAGAAAUAAGGUCUGUAAUUGAUGCUUACACAAACACAAAAAUAGUACCUAGGAGUUGUGUUGAAGGACAGGGCACAUCAUAUCUGGUAUAUGUUCAAAUCAUUCAGUUUGUGUUGUAAUGGAAAGUGUGCUCACUUUGUUUGAUGGAACUAACUGAACGCAUUCUAGUUUAUUCUUGUGUUGUUGCAGCACAGGUCUGAGGGGCAUUCCAUCAGGCAUUUUGUGUACCAUGAACCAUGUUCCCCAAAUCUUGUGUUACAAAAUUGUGAAAUACUCCCUCAGUCCCGUAAUAUAAGAUAAUUUUGCAAGCUAAAACAGCUUAAACGGUCUUAAAUUGUGGGACGAAGAGAGUAACUUUCUAUGACAUGGAUGUUGAUAAUGCAUCGUCGUACCGCCACGCCACUUACUAGAAAAGUAGAAAGUAAUUAUUUGAAGAUCUUUUAUGUCAUUUUCUGCACUUGAUGCUUUCCUAAAAAAGCAUGUCACUGUAUGCAUUACACAGCUGAAUUUUGUAUGCCAGUUGCGCGUCGCGUUAUGCAUCCAAUCAAUUUCUGAUGCGAUUUCCACACCCGGAACUAGAUUGUUUUUUUGUGGGAUCCUGAACUAGAUGGGGUUUCUUUUUUUGCGGGAUCCUGAACUUUUUUUUUGCAGGGAAAUUUGGGAGCUCUUUAUUCAACACUAACAGCUCCAGCUGAAUCAGCUGAGAGGCUGGUUACAAGAAGACUCGGAAUGGAGUCCAUCCAACAUUCGAUUACAUCCAGGGUGCUAGCUUGUUUAGCACAAAUGUGAGCCGAAACAUUAGCUGAUCUUCCUACAUGCUGAAUUACAAAAGACUUAAAAUAAAUGACAUGCUCCCUAAUCUCGGCCAAGAUAGGCGCCACGACCGCACAAGCAUUGUGACGCGUAUUCCAGAGAUUCACAAUCUCCAAAUUAUCAGACUCGAAAACCACCUCAGAAUAGCCUCGAAGAUGAGCAAAGAGAACACCAUCGCGUAGAGCGAGUGCCUCGGCUAUAAGAGGAUCAGUGAUUCCUGAGUAAGGUUUGCACCAUGCAGCUAGAAAGGAUGAAUGUGUUCUUGCGACUCCACCUGCCACUCCCCUCCUAGCUUCCAUUGCAACACUUCCAUCAGUGUUGAUCUUGAUCCAGCCCAAGUCUGGCGGUCUCCAACCAUGCCCCGGCAAAAUUUGCGCGUGUUCGCGAGGAAGUUCAAGUACAGAUAGAGCUUCUUGGGUUUUCUUCAUGGACUGAACAGGAUCAAGUUCCUUCUUGUCAUGUGUGGCAUUGUUUCUUGAGGUCCAAAUCGUCCACAUGACAGUAACCAGUUUUGCUUUCUCAGACUCAGAGAACAUCGGAUCGCAAAUAACAUCCCGAGACCAUGUAAGUGGGUGCAACUCCGGUCGCUUGAUGUCAAGCCAGUACGGCGCCGCGUUCCAAAAACGUCUGGCGUGGGUGCAAUCCAAUAACGCAUGCUUCAUGUCUUCCUCUGCAUGAAGACACAGUUUGCAGGUGCCAAUGGUUGUGAUAUGGCGGUACAUGAGAGUAGAUUCAGCCGGAAGGAUCCCAUGCAACACCCGCCACCAGAACACUCUUACCCUUGGCAAAACCUUAAGCUUCCAUAAACGGGACCAUAACUGUCUGUCUGUCGAUGAAGUCUCGGUGAUCGUCCCUUCCUCUAGAGCCAGAUGCUCGUUACGAGUCAUUAGAGCAUGAUACGCCGAUUUUACAGUAUAGCAUCCUGACCGUUCGUGAGCCCAUGCAAGGACAUCAUCGCCCCCACCCCGCAUGAGAGGGAUGUUAAGAAUUGCAUCCGCAUCGGGGGUGAUAAAAUUUUGACGGACCACAUGCACCUUCCACGACCAAUUGACCGUAUCAAUAAGGUCUGAGACUGUUUGCAAUUGUGUAUUAGUGCUUCUGACAGUCGGAGUCAUAGAAAGGGUACCGGGAAUCCACUUAUCAUCCCAGAUAGAGACCGAACUGCCAUCUCCAAUGCGUUUGAUCAGACCAACUUGCAAAGAAUCCCUCCUUGCAAUGAUGGCACGCCACAUCGCCAAGGAAAACCGCGGGGUUGUAGCUUGCAUGAAAUCACAAGUGGGAAAAUAUCUCCCUUUGAGAACUCUAGCACAAAGCGAUGAUGGAUUCGUCAUCAGUCGCCAGCCAUGUUUGCCGAGAAGAGCUGUGUUGAAAAGCUCAAGAUCCCGGAAGCCCAUUCCGCCCUUCUCCUUUGGACUUGCCAAGGUCUGCCAGGCCUUCCAAUGCAGUGAAUUACGAUCCAGGGAGCUGCUCCACCAAUACUUAGCGAAGGAGGAAGUAAGGCUCUUACACACCUUCUUUGUUAACUUGAAGCAACUCAUGCUGAAAAUAGGUAUAGCUUGGGCUACAGUUCUUAUACGCACUUCCCUUCCAGCACAAGAAAUCAUUCUUUCUGACCCUCCUUGGAGUUUGCUUCGGAUCCUCUCUCCAAUAUGGUCAAAAGUACCGCUUGUGAUCCUAUCCACAACUAUAGGUAGACCAAGAUAACGAUCGCUGAAAGCUUCUACCGAAAUGUUCAGAGUUUGUUUCAGCAGUAGCUUAUCCGGGGCAGAGGUGUUUGGACUAAAAUAAAUUGAGCUUUUCUCUUUGUUGACAGCCUGCCCUGAGCCCCUCUCAUAAAUUCUCAAUAUCUCAUUGAGCCUUUGGUCACUAUCCACCUUUGCCUGCAUAAAAAUUAGACUGUCAUCCGCGAAGAGAAGAUGAUUAAUCCACGGAUAUCGGUAGCUGACUCGAAUGCCUUUGUCCACUCUCACACCACCAAAGUGGUUCAGAAGUGAAGUUAAACCUUCCGCACAUAGCAGGAAUAAGUACGGAGACGCUGGGCACCCCUGUCUUAGCCCCCUCGAGGGGGUGAAAAAAGGAAGAAGUUCGCCAUUCACCCAUAUUGAGAAUCUGACUGAGGUGACAUACUUCAUGACUAGGCGAACAAACUCCAUACAGAAACCAAGUUUCAACAUGAUCGCCUGCAAAUAAUGCCAUUCUACACGGUCGUAUGCUUUCAUCAUGUCCAACUUGAUAGCACAGACAGCAUUCUCCCCUUUUGUCACGCCCAAUAUGCGACCCUAUCCAAAAGGAACUCGAAGGUCCCACCAAGGAUAGACCCGCAUAUUGAAACGCUUUUGCAAGGUGGAUAUCAUUACAUCAACAUUACAUAAUAGAUGGGGAUACAUACAAGAGGCAAACCAUGCCACACGAAUACAACACCACAAUACAUCAGAGCAUCAUCCGACUACGGAUGAAUCACAAACAGAAACUCAAAAUACAUCCACCCUGCUAGCCCAGGCUGCCGACCUGGAACCUAUCCCCUGAUCGAAGAAGAAGCAGAAGAAGAACUCAUUGCAAGCAAGCAUCGCUCUCGCGUCAUGACCAUCGCAAAACCUCACCUGCAACUAUUGUUGUAGUAAUCUGUGAGCCACGAGGACUCAGCAAUCCCAUUACCAUGGGUAUCAAGACUAGCAAAGCUUAAUAGGAAAGGAAGGGGUAAAGUGGUGAGGCUGCAGCAGCGACUAAGCAUGAUAUGGUGGCUAACAUACGCAAAUAAGAGCGAGAAGAGAACAAAAGGAACGGUCGUGAAACUAGCAAUGAUCAAGAAGUGAUCCUGAACUCCUACUUACGUCAAACAUAACCCAGAAACCGUGUUCACUUCCCGGACUCCGCCGAGAAGAGACCAUCACGGCUACACACACGGUUGAUGCGUUUUAAUUCGGAUCUGGUGUCAAGUUAUCUACAACCGGACAUUAACAAAUUCCCAUAUGCCUAUAACCGCAGGCACGACUUUCGAAAGAUUAUACCCUACAAGGGUGUCCCAACUUAGCCCAUGACAAUCUCUCGCGAUCAACGAAGGAAUAGACCUUCUCCCAGGAAGACCCGAUCAGACUCGGAAUCCCGGUUUACAAGACAUUUCGACAAUGGUAAAACAAGACCAGCAAGACCGCCCGAUGCGCUGACAAUCCCGAUAGGAGCUGCACAUAUCUCGUUCUUAGGGCAACACCGGAUGAGCAAUCCGUACAACUAAAACCAAACCUCAAGUUUCCCUGAGGGGGCGCUGCAAAGGGCUCAGGUUCGGACCAACACUUAGACAAGCACUGGCCCGGGGGGCUAAAAUAAAGAUGACCCUCGGGUUGGCCGACCCAAGGGAAAGGGUUAGGUGGUGGUGAGGCAAAUGGUAAAACCAAGGUUGGGCCUUGCUGGAGGAGUUUUAUUCAAAGCGAACUGUCAAGGGGGUCCCAUAAAUCACCCGACCGCGUAAGGAACGCAAAAUCCGGGAACAUAACACCGGUAUGACGGAAACUAGGGCGGCAAGAGUGGAACAAAACACUAGGCAAAAGGCCAAGCCUUCCACCCUUUACCAAAUAUAUAGAUGCAUUAAUAAAAUAAGAGAUAUUGUGAUAUCCCAACCAAAAUCCUGUCCGCCAUGGAGCAAUCUUCAAACUUCACCUGCAACUAGCAACGCUAUAAGAGGGGAUGAGCAAAGCGGCAACAUAGCCAAACAACGGUUUGCAUAGGAAAGGUGUCAAAGGUUAGAGGUUCAUGGCUAUUUGGGAUGGCUUGAUAAACAGGUGAUAGGUAGCGCAACAAAGCGAUAGAACGAAGCAACUAGCAUAGCAAUGAUAGUAGUGAGAUCCAGGGUAGCGGUCAUCUUGCCUGAAAUCCCCCAAGGAAGAAGAACGAGUCCAUGAAGAAGACGAACGGACGAAGCCGAACCAAGCGUAGACGAACGAAUCCUCACGAUCGCAACGAAACAGGAACUAUCGAAAAGAAGCACAUAACAUAGUAAACACACCACACAUGAACAAGGCAUGAUGCACAAACAAGCAUGAUGCAUGACAAAGCUACAUGAAGCUACUCAUGGCAAGAGAUGAUGCAAACAAGAACAACACAUCAAGGCAAGUUUAAAUGAGGCCGGGAACAACAUAUAACAAUUCCGGAAAGUCCUCAUAUGCAUAUUUCGAAAUUGGUCCAGAUCUGAACAAACCUUAUGUUCAAGUAGUUAAACAUCAAGUUAAGAUGCACAAAGAUGAUCUACACGAGAUUCUAGUCAAGUUACAUAUAAAGUUCAUUAGAUUCGGAGCUACGGCCUAGAAGAUAUGGGCAAAACAAGUUAAACAUGGCAUUGAUACAAAAUGCACCCAAACAUCAAGCAAACACCUCAAAACAAGGAUGCAACAUGAUAAUAUGAAACUACAUGCAAUUCUAAGCAAGUUUCAUAUAGAGCACACUCAUAACGGGGCAAUGGUUCAACACAUGCACACUAUACAAGUCAUAGCAAUAAUCUGUCCAAAACAGCAACUAGACAUAUUGCAAGCAUCAAAACAAUAUGCUACAUCACCCCAACAUAAUAACAGAAGGCAUGGACAUGAUGUACAGGUAAAGCAUUACAAAACAUGAACACUGAACUAUCUCCAGAAAUCACUAGAACAUGUCCAAACACACAUGGUAAGAUUGCAAGUUAUUACAAUUCAGACUUUGCAGAAAAUAACAUCACGAUGCAAUGUUCAGAGCUAUCAAACAACAUGUUACAGGAACUUAUAAUGGCAAACAAAAGCAUGGCAUGAUUCUACUCAAAGCAUAGACCAAAAGUCCCUUACUGACCAUAAGCCAAAAAUGAUCAGAAAAUAUGAUGGCACCCACGUAAACAUAGCAAGUUAUUAUACAGAUUCAAACAUGGCAGAAACAUAAUUAUGAAGGCAUGUAAAUGAGCUUGUGCAACUCAUUACAGAACAAUACAUGGCAUGGCAAGGCAACCAGCAGUAAGAAGACAUAUUUGUGAAGCUAAGAAUGGCAAUAGCAAGGUCAUAGGAUGCAUGGAACACUAGCAAAACACAUGGGAACAAGUGAACUUAAUGUAAACAGGCUGACAACAACAUUAUGAAGCAACUUUGGAGCAAGAUUACAACAAGCUACAGCAGCCUAUAAAUGCAACCAGGGCCUUGGAUGGAUAGGGGAUGACAUGUAUAUCAAAACAUGUUUAUAGGCCAUAUCCAGAUUAUGCAUAGAAUGAUUAGUAGCAACAUGUUUAUAUAGCAUCGUGAAAUAACAGAUUCGGCCUAGCAAAACAGCAACAUCAUGAACACUACUUAACAAGCUCGAUUCACUCACCACAAGUCAUUGCAUGACAAGAUAAGCAUAGCAUCAUCAAGAAGGCAUGUCAUAGAAGCUAUACAUGGCAAGAAACAACAUCAUAGCAUAUCCGGACCAACUACAACAACCUCGGCCAAAUUGAAUAACAUGUAAACAAUCUGCCAGGAAACAUUUUGAAGCAAAAGUAGAGCACUCAAAUGAUAUGCUAGACUACUCCAUAAUUGCAACAAAGGGCAUGAAUGGAUAGAGCAUAACCACAUGUUCAAAACACCCUUACCGAAGUAUCUCAAAAUAUGCAUGGAUCUCUCUGUAGCAUCAAGUUUACAUGGCAUCAAAAUAACAGCAGAACAGGGACUAAAAUCAGCAACAUCACGAUGCCUAGUUUGCAUGCUUGUGCUAGUCACCACAUUGAUCACAAAGAUACAUGGCAUACACCACUGUAAAGAAGACAUGGCAUAGAUCAAAACACAUGAAGACAUCAACCUCAUAGGAUGCACACAUCAAUCAUGGCAAAAAUGACAAAAGAGCUCGUUCUGAUAACAGACAGCAGAAAACAUUAUGAAGCACUCUUACAACGAUGAUUCAGGCAUCAAUAUGACCUCAAAUGAAUAUGAUGCAAUGGAAUGGAAUGAUCUACUCGUCGAGACGAACAAUUCGACAUAUUACACGCAUGAAACGGAGCUACGGAUGCAGAGAUACGGCAUGACGAACAUGGCAUGAAAAUUACUCAAACUGGNNNNNNNNNNNNNNNNNNNNNNNNNNNNNNNNNNNNNNNNNNNNNNNNNNNNNNNNNNNNNNNNNNNNNNNNNNNNNNNNNNNNNNNNNNNNNNNNNNNNNNNNNNNNNNNNNNNNNNNNNNNNNNNNNNNNNNNNNNNNNNNNNNNNNNNNNNNNNNNNNNNNNNNNNNNNNNNNNNNNNNNNNNNNNNNNNNNNNNNNNNNNNNNNNNNNNNNNNNNNNNNNNNNNNNNNNNNNNNNNNNNNNNNNNNNNNNNNNNNNNNNNNNNNNNNNNNNNNNNNNNNNNNNNNNNNNNNNNNNNNNNNNNNNNNNNNNNNNNNNNNNNNNNNNNNNNNNNNNNNNNNNNNNNNNNNNNNNNNNNNNNNNNNNNNNNNNNNNNNNNNNNNNNNNNNNNNNNNNNNNNNNNNNNNNNNNNNNNNNNNNNNNNGACGUGGCGUCCCCGGAUUGGUCCGGGCGACGUGGAGGCUGGGGUGGACGUGUCCGGCCGCCGGGCGGACAUGUCCGGCGGCGCGAGGAGGGAGAGGGCUAGGGUUUCGGGGGAUCAACCGUGAAUUUCAGGGAGAGGCAUAUAUUUAUAGGUAGAGAGAGCUAGGAGAGUCCAAAUGAGGAGCGGUUUUCGGCCACGUGAUCGUGAUCGAACGACCGAGAGCAUGGAGGGGAGUUAGAUGGGUUUUGGGCCAGUUUGGAAGGGGUGUUGGGAUGCAAGGAGAGAGGGUCUUUACGGUUACCCGGUUAACCGUUGGAGUACCAAACGACCUCCAAAUGGCACGAAACUUGACAGGCGAUCUACCGGUGCUAUACCGAGGCCACUUAGCAAGCCUCGGGCCAUUCCGAGAAAGUUUAGCACCCACUCACAACGAGAGACGAAAGGGGAACACCGGAGGACAUAGGAGCACCGGAUUGCAAAAUGGACAACGGGGAAAAGGCUCGGAUGCAUGAGACGAACACGUAUGCAAAAUGAAAUGCACAUGAUGACAUGAUAAAAUGCAACACGCAAGAAAAUGACAUGGCAAUGACAUGGCAACGACGGCGAAUAACUGGCAGACACCUGGCGCAUCGGAACCGGGGCGUUACAACACUCCUCCACUAACAAGAGAUCUCGUCCCGAGAUCUUAGGACCGAGACGGAAGGGAAAAAGGGAUGAGGUGAAACAAGAACUGAAGAGAAGAAGCAAGGAAUCAAGAGCAUUCGAGAAGAAGAAGGAACGACGAGAAUGACGAGAAUCGAAAGCUCACGAAAUCAGAUAGGCUAAGAAAGCACUCAUUCUAACCGGAGUGGUUAGAAUGAGAUAAGAAACGAAUAAGACUGAAAGGAUUUAGGCAGCACUCCGACUGAAACAUGGAGGAAUAGAACAUGAACUUCACCCAAAGAGAUGGCACUUGACGAGAUGAACAAAGCAAUGCCUCCGGAAGAAUUGAAAGAAUUGAAUGAAAAGAACUUAGAAGGAAAGGUUGAACGGAUUUGUUGAGAAAAUCAACAACGAAAGGAUAAGCUUGUUGUGGACUUAUGGAGAACAUCUCAAAAUUAUGAGGUGAUAACCGACCACAAACGGAAAUGAUUGGAUAACUUAGAAGAACGAAGAAAUGCAAAACUCCACUUCCAAAAGAAUUACGGAGAAUUAAUUGCACUUCGAGAUGCGAGAAGAAAAGAUACUUGAACUCCACCAACAAGAAUCUUGAUGAACUCUUGAAGAAUGAAUUAAAUCAUGAAGAACCACCAUGAACUCCGGUAACAAAAGAAUGACGAGAUAAAAUUGAAGGAUGAAAGAAUAAGAUGAGCCUUGCGAUGAUUUAGAUGGAGGUUCCGACAAAAAGACCGAGGAAGAUUGAACUCCGGAAAAGAAAAGAUGAAAACACUUGAACUAGAAUUUAUUCCUCACGAACAAACUCUGAAGGAAGGGAUUAUUCACUUGGAUGAAAUAAGAAUAAGAUUUAUUGUAUGCUUAUCCUUCAUCAAAAUAAAUUGAUGACAAGCAAUGGAUUUUGUAUACUACUUAUUCUUCUUGAAAAGGAUUGAGAAGUGACAUAUCGCAAACUUGAGAAGGUCUUCAUGAACCACCGGUAGGAUUGAAAAGAACGAAUGGAUUAAAAUGAUAAACAAAGAAAAAGAAUCUUGAACGAACCACCGUAAGAAUUCGAAAAUGACUGACGAAAGAGGAUGAAUCACCGGGAAGAAUUGGAAGAACAAAUAUGCUUGAGGGAAUUUAGAUGCACAAGAACGAAGAGAUAACGAGCUGAUUAAAGAGCACUUGAAUGAAGCACCGGGAUAACAGAGAAUGAUAACUGGACUGAUGGCCUCCGGUGAAAAGAAACGGGAAACCAACUCCUGAAAUACUCCGGAUGGAUAAGAAAGAAUAUCUGGCACACUGAAAUAAAUCGAGAGGAUGAGUAUGAAAAACUCUUCUUCGAUCUUCAAAUGACGACGAGAAACACCGCAAAAAUUCCCGAGAUACUCCGGGAGAACAAAAAGCGAAGAGGUUGAGGCAACAAAGGAAAAUGAUUUGAAAACGAUCUUGGAAAAGCAUCUUACUGAUGGAAUCCAUUCUUAUGUCACACUUUGAAAAGAAUUGAGAAUAACUCCGGGGGAAUUAGAAGAGUCAGGUAAGAUCCUGGAAAAAGACCUGUGGGUUAUGGGCCCACUAAAAGAAAACACCGUUGGAAAGGAUGAUGAACAGAUAGAUGAUGCACCGGAACAAUUGAAAUAUUUGAAUGAGGUGACAGCCUCGAAUUUAUUGGAACAGAUACGAAUCUCCUGAGAUGUCUUGAACACUCCGGAAGGAUAAACUGGCGAGAGGCGAACGAGCAAGGAGAACACUUCGAGUAAAAGAAUAUGAUCAACCCGAAAAACUUGAAUUGAAUCCACCGGAAAGGAAAAGAGAUGAAGAAUGACGAACGAAACGAGAAUUCACCGGUUGAAACAAUUGACGAAAACUGAAGAGGCUCCACACGAAUGAAAAUUGAUGCUCGAAAGAGCUCCGGAGGGUGGGAGGGCGGGAAAACAAAGACAACUUGGAAGGGGAAUCGACGAAUAUCUUGAAGAGAAAACACUGGUUGAAAUCAUUGAGGAAAGAAAGCAAAGGCUUCGCAGGAGUAGGAUGGAUACUCGAUUACGGACUCCGGUUCUGAGAAGAAGAACAGGGAGGGCGGGUGGGAAAAGAAAACAACUGAGGAUUGAACUCAAAGAUGAAGAGGCUCGAGUCAACUUGACGAGAAAUGCACCGGAUGAAAAGAGCUGAGAACCAACGACCAGAAAACCAACUGCGUGAUCCUAAAGAAAAAUUUGAAGGGGAAGAGGAGUAAUCCGAAACACCUACGUCAAGAUUCCUUUCUAGAGCGACGAAGGGACCGAGGAGUAAAAAGAAUUCCUACUCUCCGAUAUAACUAGACUCCGAAAACAGUUUAUUCUAGACUCAACAUCGGCCAAACUACACGAUCAAUCAAGGGGGCUCCUAGGGUCGGUCGAGGCUCUGAUACCAACUUGUCAUGCCCAAUAUGCGACCCUAUCCAAAAGGAACUCGAAGGUCCCACCAAGGAUAGACCCGCGUAUUGAAACGCUUUUGCAAGGUGGAUAUCAUUACAUCAACAUUACAUAAUAGAUGGGGAUACAUACAAGAGGCAAACCAUGCCACACGAAUACAACACCACAAUACAUCAGAGCAUCAUCCGACUACGGAUGAAUCACAAACAGAAACUCAAACGACAUCCAUCCUGCUAGCCCAGGCUGCCGACCUGGAACCUAUCCCCUGAUCGAAGAAGAAGCAGAAGAAGAACUCAUUGCAAGCAAGCAUCGCUCUCGCGUCAUGACCAUCGCAAAACCUGCACCUGCAACUGUUGUUGUAGUAAUCUGUGAGCCACGAGGACUCAGCAAUCCCAUUACCAUGGGUAUCAAGACUAGCAAAGCUUAAUAGGAAAGGAAGGGGUAAAGUGGUGAGGCUGCAGCAGCGACUAAGCAUGAUAUGGUGGCUAACAUACACAAAUAAGAGCGAGAAGAGAACAAAAGGAACGGUCGUGAAACUAGCAAUGAUCAAGAAGUGAUCCUGAACUCCUACUUACGUCAAACAUAACCCAGAAACCGUGUUCACUUCCCGGACUCCGCCGAGAAGAGACCAUCACGGCUACACACACGGUUGAUGCGUUUUAAUUCGGAUCUGGUGUCAAGUUAUCUACAACCGGACAUUAACAAAUUCCCAUAUGCCUAUAACCGCAGGCACGGCUUUCGAAAGAUUAUACCCUGCAGGGGUGUCCCAACUUAGCCCAUGAUAAUCUCUCGCGAUCAACGAAGGAAUAGACCUUCUCCCAGGAAGACCCGAUCAGACUCGAAAUCCCGGUUUACAAGACAUUUCGACAAUGGUAAAACAAGACCAGCAAGACCGCCCGAUGCGCUGACAAUCCCGAUAGGAGCUGCACAUAUCUCGUUCUCAGGGCAACACCGGAUGAGCAAUCCGUACAACUAAAACCAAACCUCAAGUUUCCCUGAGGGGGCGCUGCAAAGGGCUCAGGUUCGGACCAACACUUAGACAAGCACUGGCCCGGGGGGCUAAAAUAAAGAUGACCCUCGGGUUGGCCGACCCAAGGGAAAGGGGUAGAUGGUGGUGAGGCAAAUGGUAAAACCAAGGUUGGGCCUUGCUGGAGGAGUUUUAUUCAAAGCGAACUGUCAAGGGGGUCCCAUAAAUCACCCGACCGCGUAAGGAACGCAAAAUCCGGGAACAUAACACCGGUAUGACGGAAACUAGGGCGGCAAGAGUGGAACAAAACACUAGGCAAAAGGCCAAGCCUUCCACCCUUUACCAAAUAUAUAGAUGCAUUAAUAAAAUAAGAGAUAUUGUGAUAUCCCAACCAAAAUCCUGUCCGCCAUGGAGCAAUCUUCAAACUUCACCUGCAACUAGCAACGCUAUAAGAGGGGAUGAGCAAAGCGGUAACAUAGCCAAACAACGGUUUGCAUAGGAAAGGUGUCAAAGGUUAGAGGUUCAUGGCUAUUUGGGAUGGCUUGAUAAACAGGUGAUAGGUAGCGCAGCAAAGCAAUAGAACGAAGCAACUAGCAUAGCAAUGAUAGUAGUGAGAUCCAGGGUAGCGGUCAUCUUGCCUGAAAUCCCCCAAGGAAGAAGAACGAGUCCAUGAAGAAGACGAACGGACGAAGCCGAACCAAGCGUAGACGAACGAAUCCUCACGAUCGCAACGAAACAGGAACUAUCGAAAAGAAGCACACAACAUAGUAAACACACCACACAUGAACAAGGCAUGAUGCACAAACAAGCAUGAUGCAUGACAAAGCUACAUGAAGCUACUCAUGGCAAGAGAUGAUGCAAACAAGAACAACACAUCAAGGCAAGUUUAAAUGAGGCCGGGAACAACAUAUAACAAUUCCGGUAAGUCCUCAUAUGCAUAUUUCGAAAUUGGUCCAGAUCUUAACAAACCUUAUGUUCAAGUAGUUAAACAUCAAGUUAAGAUGCACAAAGAUGAUCUACACGAGAUUCUAGUCAAGUUACAUAUAAAGUUCAUUAGAUUCGGAGCUACGGCCUAGAAGAUAUGGGCAAAACAAGUUAAACAUGGCAUUGAUGCAAAAUGCAACCAAACAUCAAGCAAACACCUCAAAAAAAGGAUGCAACAUGAUAAUAUGAAACUACAUGCAAUUCUAAGCAAGUUUCAUAUAGAGCACACUCAUAACGGGGCAACGGUUCAACACAUGCACACUAUACAAGUCAUAGCAAUAAUCUGUCCAAAACAGCAACUAGGCAUAUUGCAAGCAUCAAAACAAUAUGCUACAUCACCCCAACAUAAUAACAAAAGGCAUGGACAUGAUGUACAGGUAAAGCAUUACAAAACAUGAACAUUGAACUAUCUCCAGAAAUCACUAGAACAUGUCCAAACACACAUGGUAAGAUUGCAAGUUAUUACAAUUCAGACUUUGCAGAAAAUAACAUCACGAUGCAAUGUUCAGAGCUAUCAAACAACAUGUUACAGGAACUUAUAAUGGCAAACAAAGGCUUGGCAUGAUUUUACUCAAAGCAUAGAUCAAUAGUCCCUUACUGACCAUAAGUCAAAAAGGAUCAGAAAAUAUGAUGGCACCCACGUAAACAUAGCAAGUUAUUAUACAGAUUCAAACAUGGCAGAAACAUAAUUAUGAAGGCAUGUAAAUGAGCUUGUGCAACUCACUACAGAACAAUACAUGGCAUGGCAAGGCAACCAGCAGUAAGAAGACAUAUUUGUGAAGCUAAGAAUGGCAAUAGCAAGGUCAUAGGAUGCAUGGAACACUAGCAAAACACAUGGGAACAAGUGAACUUAAUGUAAACAGGCUGACAACAACAUUAUGAAGCAACUUUGGAGCAAGAUUACAACAAGCUACAGCAGCCUAUAAAUGCAACCAGGGCCUUGGAUGGAUAGGGGAUGACAUGUAUAUCAAAACAUGUUUAUAGGACAUAUCCAGAUUAUGCAUAGAAUGAUUAGUAGCAACAUGUUUAUAUAGCAUCGUGAAAUAAUAGAUUCAGCCUAGCAAAACAGCAACAUCAUGAACACUACUUAACAAGCUCGAUUCACUCACCACAAGUCAUUGCAUGACAAGAUAAGCAUAGCAUCAUCAAGAAGGCAUGUCAUAGAAGCUAUACAUGGCAAGAAACAACAUCAUAGCAUAUCCAGACCAACUACAACAACCUCGGCCAAAUUGAAUAACAUGUAAACAAUCUGCCAAGAAACAUUUUGAAGCAAAAGUAGAGCACUCAAAUGACAUGCUAGACUACUCCAUAAUUGCAACAAAGGGCAUGAAUGGAUAGAUCAUAACCACAUGUUCAAACCACCCUUACUGAAGUAUCUCAAAAUAUGCAUGGAUCUCUUUGUAGCAUCAAGUUUACAUGGCAUCAAAAUAACAGCAGAACAGGGACUAAAAUCAGCAACAUCACGAUGCCUAGUUUGCAUGCUUGUGCUAGUCACCACAUUGAUCACAAAAAUACAUGACAUACACCACUGUAAAGAAGACAUGGCAUAGAUCAAAACACAUGAAGACAUCAACCUCAUAGGAUGCACACAUCAAUCAUGGCAAAAAUGACAAAAGAGCUCGUUCUGAUAACAGACAGCAGAAAACAUUAUGAAGCAGUCUUACAACAAUGAUUCAGGCAUCAAUAUGACCUCAAAUGAAUAUGAUGCAAUGGAAUGGAAUGAUCUACUCGUCAAGACAAACUAUUCGACAUAUUACACGCACGAAACGGAGCUACGGAUGCAGAGAUACGGCAUGACGAACAUGGCAUGAAAAUUACUCAAACUAGGGACUUAGUGAAAAAAAAAUAGACCUCGGGGGGGGGGGGUUUGCUAGACGGACAUGUCCGGGCUCCUCCGGACAUGUCCGGCGUGGACGGAGGAGCAGACGACGGGGAGGCCGAGGAGGCCGACCAUGGCGGCGCGGCACUCCGGUGAGGUUGGAGGAGGCCAGGGAGGCGACGACGAGGUGGCCCCGGACCGAAUCUGGCCGGAUCCGGCCGACAGCGAGUGGCGGAACCUGGCUGGAGGCGGAGCGCGCGCCGGCGGAGGAAGCCGGGCCUUCGGGCGCAGAGGCGGGAGGUCAGAGGAGGCCGGGCGAAGCAGGUCGCCGACGGCGGAGCUUCGGCNNNNNNNNNNNNNNNNNNNNNNNNNNNNNNNNNNNNNNNNNNNNNNNNNNNNNNNNNNNNNNNNNNNNNNNNNNNNNNNNNNNNNNNNNNNNNNNNNNNNNNNNNNNNNNNNNNNNNNNNNNNNNNNNNNNNNNNNNNNNNNNNNNNNNNNNNNNNNNNNNNNNNNNNNNNNNNNNNNNNNNNNNNNNNNNNNNNNNNNNNNNNNNNNNNNNNNNNNNNNNNNNNNNNNNNNNNNNNNNNNNNNNNNNNNNNNNNNNNNNNNNNNNNNNNNNNNNNNNNNNNNNNNNNNNNNNNNNNNNNNNNNNNNNNNNNNNNNNNNNNNNNNNNNNNNNNNNNNNNNNNNNNNNNNNNNNNNNNNNNNNNNNNNNNNNNNNNNNNNNNNNNNNNNNNNNNNNNNNNNNNNNNNNNNNNNNNNNNNNNNNNNNNNNNNNNNNNNNNNNNNNNNNNNNNNNNNNNNNNNNNNNNNNNNGGGAGGGCCCCGGAUGGGCCCCGGCGGGCCGGCGCGGUGGGAGGCGCGGCGGGGACGCGUGGGAGGCGCUGGUUGGGCGGGGGCGGCGGCGCGAUGAUGUGGCGUCCCCGGAUUGGUCCGGGCGACGUGGAGGCUGGGGUGGACGUGUCCGGCCGCCGGGCGGACAUGUCCGGCGGCGCGAGGAGGGAGAGGUCUAGGGUUUCGGGGGAUCAACCGUGAAUUUCGGGGAGAGGCAUAUAUUUAUAGGUAGAAGGAGCUAGGAGAGUCCAAAUGAGGAGCGGUUUUCGGCCACGCGAGCGUGAUCGAACGACUGAGAGCAUGGAGGGGAGUUAGAUGGGUUUUGGGCCAGUUUGGAAGGGGUGUUGGGCUGCAAGGAGAGAGGGGCUUUACGGUUACCCGGUUAACCGUUGGAGUACCAAACGACCUCCAAAUGGCACGAAGCUUGACAGGCGGUCUACCGGUGCUAUACCGAGGCCACUUGGCAAGCCUCGGGCCAAUCCGAGAAAGUUUAGCACCCACUCACAACGAGAGACGAAAGGGGAACGCCGGAGGACAUAGGAGCGCCGUAUUGCAAAAUGGACAAUGGGGAAAAGGCUCGGAUGCAUGAGACGAACACGUAUGCAAAAUGAAAUGCACAUGAUGACAUGAUAAAAUGCAACACGCAAGCAAAUGACAUGACAAUGACAUGGCAACGACGGUGAAUAACUGGCAGACACCUGGCGCAUCGGAACCGGGGCGUUACACCUUUCUUCCUUCUUCUCAUCGCAUGCACACUUUCAUGUGCAAUUAGCACAUUGUCAGUUAUCAGGCGACCAGGGACAAACGCACUUUGUUCAACACUGAUAAUAUCAUCCAAGAACUCUCGGAGACGGUUAGCAAUGGCCUUGGAGGCGAUCUUAUAUAAAACCGGACAGAGAGAAAUAGGAUGAUAUUGAGUGAUACUUUGUGGGAAUCGUACCUUGGGGAUCAAUGUGAUAGAAGUGUCGUUUAUCCCUGGUGGUAGUUCUCCCCCAUUAAGAAAGUCAAGCACCGCUGGAAUAAUGUCGUCUUUGAGCCAACUCCAGUGACGCUGAAAAAACCCAGCCGUGAAACCAUCCACCCCCGGGUCCUUCGAGGGAGCCAUCUGGAAAAGGGCUCGGCGCACCUCCUCCUCUGUAAACGGCUUGCUAAGUGCAUCGUUCAUAACAGGAGUCACCCGUGGCUGUACAACAUCCAGCAAUUCAUCCAUCUGAUGAAAACCUUGCGAGGUAUAUAACUUCUCAUAGAACUGCUGCACCUCCGCACGAUCUUCCUCCAAACUAGUACACACCGAUCCUUCACUACGGACAAGAUUUUCUACCUUAUUCAUGCGCUUGCGCUGGGCGGCUCGGGCCCGAAAAUAACCCGUGUUUCGGUCCCCUUCUCGCAGCCAUGGAACACAUGAUCGCUGACGGAGCCAAAUUUCUUCUUGAUGCAGAGCCAGCUUAAGUUUCUGAGCCACCGCUUUCUCUUCUUCAGUAGGUCCCCGUCGCAAAGGAUUGGCACGCAGUCGGGAGAGCUGCUCUCGCAACUUCCUAAUCUUGCGUGACAAACAUCCAAACUCCUUCGCUCCCCACACCGCUAGGUUGCCCUGAAGAGCUGUGAGAGCUUGAGUCACUUCUCGUAGUCCUUCCCGGCCUGCCCCCUUCUGCCAUGAGUCAAAUACCAGCUUGUCAUAGUCCACGUGCGUCUGCCACAUGUCCUCAUAUCUAAAAGGUUUUGGCCCUCUGGGCACUACCGUUUCCAAGUGCUCGCGGAGAUCCGCUAACACAAAACAAUGAUCUGACUCCGUUGUUACUAUAUGUCUGACCUUAAUGUGUGAAAACAUCUAUAAGAGAGCGGAGUUACCAAAUGCCCGAUCCAGCCGGGCUCUCACAUUCGAUCUGCCGAACUGCAUGUUAUCCCAUGUGUAUUCAGUUCCCGACCAACCCAAAUCAAUAAGAGAACAAUCGUCCGUCACUUCCCUAAAUGCCCUCAUUUUCCACUCCGGUCUGGGAGUUCUGGAAAAGUGCUCUGAACCAUUCAAGGUCUCGUUGAAAUCUCCAAUGCACAUCCAUGCAUCAUGUUGAAUUGCAUAUAGUGUCCUCAUAAACCUCCAGCUAUGAUGACGAUGUUGGGGAACGUAGCAGAAAUUCAAAAUUUUCCUAUGAGUCACCAAGAUCUAUCUAUGGAGAGACUAGCAACAAGAGAAAGGAGAGUGCAUCUACAUACCCUUGUAGAUCGCUAAGAGGAAGCGUUCAAGAGAACGGGGUUGAAGGAGUCGUACUCGUCGUGAUCCAAAUCACCGGAGAUCCUAGUGCCGAACGGACGGCACCUUUGCGUUCAACACACGUACAACCCGGUGAAGUCUCCCAUGCCUUGAUACAGCAAGGAGAGAGGAAGAGGUUGGGGAAGACUCCGUCCAGCAGCAGCACAACAGCAUGGUGGUGAUGGAGGAGCAUGGUAUUCCAGCAGGGCUUCGCCAAGCACCGCGAGAUAUGAGGAGAAAGAGAGGUAGGGCAGCGCCAGGGAGAGGUGGAAACUCUUGUCUCUGGCAGCCCCAAAACCUCAAGUAUAUAUAGGGGAGAGGGAGGGGGCUGCGCCCCCUCUAGGGUUCCCACCCCUAGGGGUGCGGCAACCCAAAACCCAUCUAGGGUGGCGGCCAAGGGGGGGGGGGGAGGCGGAAACUUGCCCCCCCCCCCAAGCAAAGUGGGGCGCCCCCUCCCCAAACCCUAGGCGCCUUGGGCCCUUGUGGGGGGAGGGGGGCGCACCAGCCCACCUCGGGCUGGUCCCCUCCCACACUUGGCCCAUGCUGCCCUCUGGGGCUGGUGGCCCCACUUGGUGGACCCCCGGGACCCUCCCGGUGGUCCCGGUACGUUACCGAUAUCACCUCAAACUUUUCCGGUGACCAAGACAAGACUUCCCAUAUAUAAAUCUUUACCUCCGGACCAUUCCGGAACUCCUCGUGACGUCCGGGAUCUCAUCCGGGACUCCUAACAAUAUUCGGUAACCACGUAUAUCUAUUCCCUAUAACCCUAGCAUCAUCGAACCUUAAGUGUGUAGACCCUACGGGUUCGGGAACCAUGCAGACAUGACCGAGACAACUCUCCGAUCAAUAACCAACAGCGGGAUCUGGAUACCCAUGUUGGAUCCCACAUGUUCCAUGAUGAUCUCAUCGGAUGAACCGCGAUGUCAAGGACUCAAUCAAUCCCGUAUACAAUUCUCUUUGUCUAAUGGUAUUGUACUUGCCCGAGAUUCGAUCGUCGGUAUCCCGAUACCUUGUUCAAUCUUGUUACCAGCAAGUCUCUUUACUCGUUUCGUAACACAUCAUCCCGUGAUCAACCCCUUGGUCACAUUGUGCACACUAUGAUGAUGUCCUACCGAGUGGGCCCAGAGAUACCUCUCCGUCACACGGAGUGACAAAUCCCAGUCUCGAUUCGUGCCAACCCAACAGACACUUUCGGAGAUACCCGUAGUGCACCUUUAUAGCCACCCAUUUACGUUGUGACGUUUGGUACACCCAAAGCAUUCCUAUGGUAUCCGGGAGUUGCACAAUCUCAUGGUCUAAGGAAAUGAUACUUGACAUUAGAAAAGCUUUAGCAUACGAACUACACGAUCUUUGUGCUAGGCUUAGGAUUGGGUCUUGUCCAUCACAUCAUUCUCCUAAUGAUGUGAUCCCAUUAUCAACGACAUCCAAUGUCCAUGGUCAGGAAACCGUAACCAUCUAUUGAUCAACGAGCUAGUCAACUAGAGGCUUACUAGGGACAUGGUGUUGUCUAUGUACCCACACAUGUAUUUGAGUUUCCUAUCAAUACAAUUAUAGCAUGGAUAAUAAACGAUUAUCAUGAACAAGGAAAUAUAAUAAUAAUAACUAAUUUAUUAUUGCCUCUUGGGCAUAUUUCCAACAGUCUCCCACUUGCACUAGAGUCAAUAAUCUAGUUCACAUCGCCAUGUGAUUAAACUUGAUAGGUCACAUCGCCAUGUGACCAACAUCCAAAGAGUUUACUAGUGUCACUAAACUAGUUCACACCAUCAUGUGAUUAAGACUCAAUGAGUUUUGGGGUUUGAUCAUGUUUUGCUUGUAAGAGAGGUUUUAGUCAACGGAUCUGCAACAAUCAGAUCCGUAUGUACUUCGCAAAUCUCUAGGUCAUAUUGUAAAUGCCGCUUCCACGCUCCACUUGGAGCUAUUCCAAAUGGUUGCUCCACUAUACGUAUCUGGUUUGCUACUCAGAGUCAGUCGGAUAGGUGUUAAAGCUUGCAUCGACGUAACCCUUUACGCCGAACUCUUUAUCACCUCCAUAAUCGAGAAACAUGUCCUUAUUUACUCCAAGGACAAUUUUGACCGCUGUCCAAUGAUCCAUUCCUGGAUCAUUCUUGUACCCCUUGACUGACUCAUGGCAAGGCACACUUCCGGUGCGGUACACAGCAUAGCAUACUAUAGAGCCUACGUCUGAAGCAUAGGGGACGACCUUCGUCCUUUCUCUCUAUUCUGCCGUGGUCGAGCUUUAAGUCUUAACUUCAUACCUUACAAUUCUAGCAAGAACUCCUUCUUUGACUGAUCCAUCUUGAACACCUUCAAGAUCAUGUCAAGGUAUGUGCUCAUUUGAAAGUACCAUUUAGCGUUUUUUGAUCUAUCCUCAUAAAUCUUGAUGCUCAAUGUUCAAGCAGCUUAAUCCAGGUUUUCUAUUGAAAAACACCUUUCAAACAACCCUAUAUGCUUUCCAAAAAUUCUACAUCAUUUCUGAUCAACAAUAUGUCAACAACAUAUACUUAUCAGAAAUUCUAUAGUGCUCCCACUCACUUCUUUGGAAAUACAAAUUUCUCAUAAACUUUGUAUAAACCCAAAAUCUUUGAUCAUCUCAUCAAAGCGUACAUUCCAACUCCGAGAUGCUUACUCCAGUCCUUAGAAGGAUCGCCGAAGCUAGCAUACCUCUUAGCAUCCUUAGGAUCGACAAACUUUCUGAUGUCGCAUACAACCUUUCCUUACGAAAACUGGUAAGGGAACUCGUUUUGACAUCCAUUUGGCAGAUUUCAUAAAUGCAGCUAAUGCUAGCAUGAUUCCGACGGACUUAAGCAUCGCUACAGAUGAGAAAAUCUCAUUGUAGUCAACUUCCUUGAACUUGUGAAAAACUCUUCGCCACAAGUCGAGCUUCACAGACGGUGACAUUACCGUCCACGUCCGUCUUCUUCUUAAAGAUCAAUUUAUCUCAAUGGCUUGCCGAUCAUCGGGCAAGUCCACCAAAGUCCAUGCUUUGUUCUGAUACAUGGAUCCUAUCUCGGAUUUCAUGGCUUCUAACCAUUUGUCGAAAUAUGGGCCCACCAUUGCUUCUCCAUAGCUCGUAGGUUCAUUGUUGUAUAGCAACAUGACCUUCAAGACAGGAUUACUAUACCACUCUGAAGUAGUACGCAUCCUUGUCACUCUACGAGGUACGACAGUGACUUGAUCUGAAACUUCAUGAUCACUAUCAUAAGCUUCUACAUCAAUUGGUGUAGGCACCACAGGAACAACUUCUUGUGCCCUGCUACACACUAGUUGAAGUGACGGUUCAAUAACCUCAUCAAGUCUCCACCAUCCUCCCACUCAAUUCUUUCGAGACAAACUUUUCCUCGAGAAAGGAUCCGAUUCAAGAAACAAUCCCUAUUGCUUUCGGAUCUGAAUUAGGAGGUAUACCCAACUAUUUUUGGGUGUCCUAUGAAGAUGCAUUUUAUCCGCUUUGGGUUCGAGCUUAUCAACCUGAAACUUUUUCACAUAAGCGUCGCAGCCCCAAACCUUUAAGAAAUGACAACUUAGGUUUCUCCAAACCAUAGUUCAAACGGUGUCGUCUCAACGGAAUUACAUGGUGCCCUAUUAAAGUGAGUGCGGUUGUCUCUAAUGCCUAACCCAUGAACGAUAGUGGUAAUUUGAUAAGAGACAUCAUGGUACGCACCAUAUCCAAUAGGGUGCAACUAUGAUGUUCGGACACACCAUCACACUAUGGUGUUCCAAGCGGUAUUAAUUGUGAAACAAUUUCCACAGUGUCUUAAUUGCGUGACAAAGCUCGUAACUCAGAUACUCAUCUCUAUGAUCAUAUCAUAGACAUUUUAUCCUCUUGUCACGAUGAUCUUCAACUUCACUCUGAAAUUACUUGAACCAUUCAAUAAUUCAGACUUGUGUUUCAUCAAGUAAAUAUACUCAGUAUCUACUCAAAUCAUCCGUGAAGUAAGAACAUAACGAUAUCCACCGCGUGCCUCAGCACUCAUUGGACUGCACACAUCAAAAUGUAUUACUUCCAACAAGUUGCUUUCUUGUUCCAUUUUACUGAAAACGAGGCUUUUAGUCAUCUUGCCCAUGUGGUAUGAUUUGCAUGUCUCAAGUGAUUCAAAAUCAAGUGAGUCCAAACGGUCCAUUUGCAUGGAGUUUCUUCAUGCAUAUACACCAAUAGACAUGGUUCGCAUGUCUCAAACUUUUCAAAACGAGUGAGUCCAAAGAUCCAUCAACAUGGAGCUUCUUCAUGCGUUUUAUACCAAUAUGACUCAGUGCCACAAGUAUGUGGUACUAUCAUUACUAUCUUAUAUCUUUUGGCUUGAAUAUGUGUAUCACUAUGAUCGAGAUUCAAUAAACCAUUCAUUUUAGGUGCAACACCAGUGAAGGUAUUAUUCAAAUAAACAGAGUAACCAUUAUUCUCCUUAAAUGAACAACCGUAUUGCGAUAGACAUAAUCCAAUCAUGUCUAUGCUCAACGCAAAUGCCAAAUAACAAUUAUUUAGGUUUAACACCAAUCUCGAUGGUAGAGGGAGCGUGCGAUGCUUGAUCACAUCAACCUUGGAAACACUUCCAACACAUAUCGUCAGCUCACCUUUAGCUAGUCUCCGUUUAUUCCGUAGCUUUUAUUUCGAGUUACCAACACUUAGCAACCGAACCGGUAUCUAAUACCCUGGUGCUACUAGGAGUACUAGUAAAGUACACAUUAACAUAAUGUAUAUCCAAUAUACUUCCGUCGACCUUGCCUGCCUUCUUAUCUACUAAGUAUCUAGGGUGGUUCUGCUUUAGUGUCCGUUCCUCUCAUUACAGAAGCACUUAGUCUCGGGUUUGUGUUCAACCUUGGGUUUUCACUAGAGCAGCAACUGUUUUGCCGUUUCAUAAAGUAUCCCUUCUUGCCCUUGCCCUUCUUGAAACUAGUGGUUUUACCAACCAUCAACAAUUGAUGCUCCUUCUUGAUUUCUACUUUCACGGUGUCAAACAUCGCGAAUAUCUCAAGGAUCAUCAUAUCUAUCCCUGAUAUGUUAUAGUUCAUCACGAAGCUCUAGCAACUUGGUGGCAAUGACUUUGGAGAAACAUCACUAUCUCAUCUGGAAGAUCAACUCCCACUCGAUUCAAGUGAUUGUUGUACUCAGACAAUAUGAGCACAAGCUCAACGAUUGAGCUUUUCUCCCUUAGUUAGGCUAAGAAAAUUGUCGAAGGUCUUAUACCUCUUGACGUGGGCACGAGCCUAAAAUCCCAAUUUUAGCCCUCGAAACAUCUCACAUGUUCCGCGACGUUUCGAAAUCAUCUUUGGUGCCUCAUCUCUAUACCGUUUAACUGAACUAUCAUGUAGUUAUCAAAACGUGUAUGUCAAAUGUCCGCAACAUCCACAGACGACGUUUGAGGUUCAGCACACCGAGCGGUGCAUUAAGGACAUAAGCCUUCUAUGAAGCAAUGAGGACAAUCCUCAGUUUACGGACCCAGUCCGCAUAAUUGCUACUAUCAACUUUAUUUUCUCUAGGAACAUAUCUAAAACAGUAGAACUAAAGCGCGAGCUACGACAUAAUUUGCAAGAAUCUUUUUGACUAUGUUCAGGAUAAUUAAGUUCAUCUUACGAACUCCCACUCAGAUAGACAUCCCUCUAGUCAUCUAAGUGAUUACAUGAUCCGAGUCAACUAGGCCGUGUCCGAUCAUCAUGUGAGACGGACUAGUCAUCAUUGGUGAACAUAUUCAUAUUGAUCGUAUCCACUAUACGACUCAUGCUCGACCUUUCGGUCUCUUGUGUUCUGAGGCCAUGUCUGUACAUGCUAGGCUCGGCAAGUCAACCUAAGUGUUUCGCGUGUGUAAAUCUGGCUUACACCCGUUGUAUGUGAACAUUAGAAUCUAUCACACCCGAUCAUCACGUGGUGCUUCGAAACAACGAACUUUCACAACGGUGCACAGUUAGGGGGAACACUUUCUUGAAAUUUUAAUGAGGGAUCAUCUUAUUUACUACCGUCGUUCUAAGCAAAUAAGAUGCAUAAACAUGAUAAACAUCACAUGCAAUCAAAAAGUGACAUGAUAUGGCCAAUAUCAUUUUGCUCCUUUUGAUCUCCAUCUUCGGGGCUCCAUGAUCAUCAUUGUCACCAGCAUGACACCAUGAUCUCCAUCAUCAUGAUCUCCAUCAUCGUGUCUCCAUGAAGUUGUCUCGCCAACUAUUACUUCUACUACUAUGGCUAACGGUUUAGCAAUGAAGUAAAGUAAUUACAUGGCGUUGUUCAGUGACAUGCAGGUCAUACAAUAAAUAAAGACAACUCCUAUGGCUCCUGCCGGUUGUCAUACUCAUCGACAUGCAAGUCGUGAUUCCUAUUACAAGAACAUGAUCAAUCUCAUACAUCACAUAUCAUUCAUCACAUUCUUUUUGGCCAUAUCACAUCAAAUAGCAUACCCUGCAAAAACAAGUUAGACAUCCUCUAAUUGUUGUUUGCAUGUUUUACGUGGCUGCUAUGGGUUUCUAGCAAGAACUUUUCUUACCUAUGCAAAAACCACAACGUGAUAUGUCAAUUUCUAUUUACCCUUCAUAAGGACCCUUUUCAUCAAAUCCGAUCCGACUAAAGUGGGAGAUACUGGCACCCGCUAGCCACCUUAUGCAACAAGUGCAUGUCAGUCGGUGGAACCUGUCUCACGUAAGAGUAAGUGUAAGGUCGGUCCGGGCCGCUUCAUCCCACAAUACCGUCGAAACAAGAUUGGACUAGUAACGGUAAGCAUAUUGAACAAAAUCAACGCCCACAACUACUUUGUGUUCUACUCGUGCAUAGAAUCUACGCAAUAGACCUAGCUCAUGAUGCCACUGUUGGGGAACGUAGCAGAAAUUCAAAAUUUUCCUACGAGUCACCAAGAUCUAUCUAUGGAGAGACUAGCAACGAGAGAGAGGAGAGUGCAUCUACAUACCCUUGUAGAUCGCUAAGCGGAAGCGUUCAAGAGAACGGGGUUGAAGGAGUCGUACUCGUCAUGAUCCAAAUCACUGGAGAUCCUAGUGCCGAACGGACGACACCUCCGCGUUCAACACACGUACAGCCCGGUGACGUCUCCCAUGCCUUGAUCCAGCAAGGAGAGAGGGAGAGGUUGGGGAAGACUCCGUCCAGUAGCAGCACAACGUCAUGGUGGUGAUGGAGGAGCGUGGUAUUCCAGCAGGGCUUCGCCAAGCACCGCGAGAUAUGAGGAGAAAGAGAGGUAGGGCAGCGCCAGGGAGAGGUGGAAACUCUUGUCUCUGGCAGCCCCAAAACCUCAAGUAUAUAUAGGGGAGAGGGNNNNNNNNNNNNNNNNNNNNNNNNNNNNNNNNNNNNNNNNNNNNNNNNNNNNNNNNNNNNNNNNNNNNNNNNNNNNNNNNNNNNNNNNNNNNNNNNNNNNNNNNNNNNNNNNNNNNNNNNNNNNNNNNNNNNNNNNNNNNNNNNNNNNNNNNNNNNNNNNNNNNNNNNNNNNNNNNNNNNNNNNNNNNNNNNNNNNNNNNNNNNNNNNNNNNNNNNNNNNNNNNNNNNNNNNNNNNNNNNNNNNNNNNNNNNNNNNNNNNNNNNNNNNNNNNNNNNNNNNNNNNNNNNNNNNNNNNNNNNNNNNNNNNNNNNNNNNNNNNNNNNNNNNNNNNNNNNNNNNNNNNNNGGGGGGUGCACCAGCCCACCCGGCCACCCGGUGCUGGUCCCCUCCCACACUUGGCCCAUGCUGCCGUCUGGGGCCGGUGGCCCCACUUAGUGGACCCCCGGGACCCUCCCGGUGGUCUCGGUACGUUAUCGAUAUCACCCGAAACUUUUCCGGUGACCAAAAUGUUGGGGAACGUUGUAGAAAAUAAAAGUUUUUCCUACGGUUUCACCAAGAUCCAUCUAUGAGUUCAUCUAAGCAACGAGUGAAAGGGGAGAUGCAUCUACAUACCACUUUGUAGAUCGCGAGCGGAAGCGUUCAAAAGAACGGGGUUGAGGUAGUCGUUCUCGUCGUGAUCCUAUCACCGGAGAUCCUAGCGCCGAACGGACGGCACCUCCGCGUUCAACACACGUACGGUCAGCGUGACGUCUCCUCCAUCUUGAUCCAGCAAGGGGGAAGGAGAGGUUGAUGAUGAUCCAGCAGCACGACGGCGUGGUGGUGGAUGUAGCAGAACUCCGGCAGGGCUUUGUGAUGGGGUUAUGUACCUAGGGUAGGGUCAUGGACCUGAUCCAAGUACCUUGCCCAAGGACACCCUUAGAAGAAGUCAUCUUCCAGUCGACCAACGAGGGACACACUCGACUGACUUGAAGGACUCGACCACGAAGACUCACUCGACCACCAGGAGGUCAAGAGGCACUCUGCACUGCAACGGCCUGUAAUUAAGUAGGCUUUAUGAUAGUAAAGGCACUUUAUGUGGGGCGUUACCAGUAACGCCCCAGACUUAACUCACCUUAAACCCUCUCCUGCGUGGGCUGGCUGGGGUCCUGGCGCACUCUAUAUAAGCCACCCCCCUCCACAGGCAGAAGGGGUCGGCACCUUGUAGCUCAUAUACUCAUAAUCCACUCGACCGCCUCCGGGCUCCGAGACGUAGGGCUAUUACUUCCUCCGAGAAGGGCCUGAACUCGUACAUCCUUUGUGUUUACAACCUCUCCAUAGCUAGGACCUUGCCUCUCCAUACCUACCCCCCACUCUACUGUCAGGCUUAGAACCACGACAGUUGGCGCCCACCGUGGGGCAGGUGUUUUAGCGAUUUUGUGGAGAAGUUGCGAUUCUUCCGAGUACUUUCAUCAUGGUGUCUGCUGGAGUUUUGGUCGAGGGUCAAGAGAUCCGUCUCGGCACUCUCACCUUCAUCGCCGACGACUUAGCAUGGCUCCAGGAGGCUCCACUCGACGUAGAUGCGCUCCCCGUCCGCGGUGCGACGCAUUUUCGCGCAUGUGUCCGCGGCGUUCUGCUGCGGCAACCGUCGACCCAGUAUUGGUCGGCUCCUCCAUCGUCCACCCUCCCGGUCUCCCGCCAGCGCAAGCGCUCGGGCCGGUCGAGGCUUCAGCGAUGGGUGAGGCACGCGGUGGCUCGCCAAUCAGCCACCACCCAAGUCGCGGCAAUCGAGCCCGACGAAUAUCUCUACGGCUUGUUCGACCUGUCGACUGGCUCCGUAGAGACUGCAUCCGAGUGCGGUAGCAGUGAUCCAGCGGCAGAAAUCUUGAUGGUCGACGGGCCCCACAGUCCCCCUGGCUUCGCCCGUGGUGGUGGAGCAGGUGACGGCGGCGACCCUACGCGAGGCUACGAAGAGUACCAACCCGAGCCACUCGACUCUCUGCAAAGAGAGGAACUUCGCCGCAGGAACGAGGAUCCCCUGCGUAUUCCCAUCGCAGGAGAAACCCCCGAGGCUCGUGCCUUGGAGGAGGCGCGUCUGGCCAAUUUGGCCGAGCGCACUCGACUGGAGAACCUUCAGCGAGCUCUCGACGAGCGCGCGCGGCAACGAAUUCCCGACAACAGUCGACGUCAACUCUUCCCGCAGACUCAGGUAUAUCGAACCCGUAUAGCAGCUGCGACCCGUAUAGCAGAGUCCAUCCAGCCUUCGCAGUCGGAAGCUGGCAGAGGUUUGCUGCAGAUCAGGGAUCUGCUCCGGGCAGCAGGAGAUCAGAAUUCAGCCGUGUCUCAGUCGCACAACAGAAUUCACAGUCGAUCCGUCACUGUGAAUACGGUUCAGUCGGCUCAUAGCCCCAGAUCGCCUCCGCGGCGUGAAGGGCGCGAGAAUCGACGAGAUCAAUAUGGCGACAGACUCGACCGAGAUGAUAGGCGUCGAGUGCCCUAUUCCCCUCCGAGGGGUGGGUCUUACGCUCCUCGGCAGCCAGAUGAUAGGCGUCAGUACAGUACAUGGCGUAGGGUUCCAGUCGACCCCAGAGAACCAGGCUUCGACGCGCGAUCCAUUAUCGUGCAAGGGUUGGUUGACCGGAACAGAGCCCAUCGAGGUGGACUCGACAGAGAUGCACCCACAAGCAGUCGAGUGCAUGUUUCCGGUCCUGAAUGUUUCAGCAGAGCUAUCAGAGCCGCAGUUAUCCCUCCCAAUUUCAGGUUGGCAACAGGAGUCAGCAAGUUCACUGGUGAGUCUAAGCCUGAAACUUGGCUUGAAGACUACCGAGUGGCAGUUCAGAUUGGUGGUGGGAACGACGAGGUGGCCAUGAAGCAUUUGCCCCUCAUGUUGGAAGGUUCUGCCAGGGCAUGGUUGACUCAGUUACCUCCUAGCAGCAUUUACACUUGGGAAGAUCUGUCCCGAGUGUUCGUCAGAACGUUUGAAGGAACUUGCAAGCGACCAGCUGGAUUAACAUAGUUGCAAGUCUGCGUGCAGAAGGCCAAUGAGACUCUCAGAGAGUAUAUUCAGAGGUGGAUCACUUUGCAUCACACUGUGGAGAAUAGUGCCACACCACUCGCCAAUGUCGACUCCUGAUUCAGCAGUUUCAGGGAAAACAGUCUAAGGACAAGGAGAAGGAGUCGGACAAGGCCGAAGACAAGGAGGACAGUGAGGGAGGAUAUCCGCAAAUCAACUCCACUCUGAUGAUCUUUGCAGAUGUGGAAAGCAGAAGUCGACUGAAAGUGAUUAACCGAGAGGUGAACAUGGUUGCCCCCGCAAAAGCAAAUUAUCUGAAGUGGUCCCAAACACCCAUCACAUUCGACCAAUCUGAUCACCCGACUCAUAUUGCCACCCCUGGGAGGCAAGCUUUGGUGGUCGAUCCAGUUGUCGAAGGCACUCGACUGACAAAGGUGCUGAUGGAUGGUGGAAGUGGGCUGAACUUAUUGUAUGCAGACACAUUGAAAGGUAUGGGCAUUCCGAUGUCCCGACUGAGCACUAGUAACAUGAGCUUUCAUGGAGUUAUACCAGGGAAGAAGGCCGAGUCACUCGGCCAGAUAGCUUUGGACGUGGUGUUUGGUGAUUCGAAGCAUUUUCGCAAAGAAAAGUUGACGUUUGAGGUCGUGGAUUUUCAGAGUGCAUAUCAUGCCAUUUUGGGGAGACCAGCUUACGCACGGUUCAUGGCUCGACCAUGUUACGUGUACCUCAAAUUGAAGAUGCCCGGCCCCAAAGGAGUGAUCACUGUCACCGGUGAUCGGAAAAAGGCAGAAGAGUGCUUUCAGAAGGGCUCCAAGAUCGCCGAUUCCCAGGUGACAGCGGUCGAGUUCGAAGAAUAUAAGCAAAACGCAGAUCCGAGUGACUUGCUGCGAUCCAAGAAGCCCGCCACAGAGUCUGCAUUCCAGUCGUCCGGUGAGACGAAGCCUGUUCACAUUCACCCGACCGACCCCGAAGCAGCUCCGACCCGCAUCUCCACGACACUCGACCCAAAAUAGGAAGAAGCGCUCAUCCAGUUCCUCCGUGAGAACUGGGACAUUUUUGCAUGGAAGCCCGCUGACAUGCCAGGUGUUCCCAGGGGACUGGCUGAGCAUCGCUUAAGAGUCGACUCAUCUGCAAAACCAGUCAAAGAGCAUCUUCGGCGGUCCGCCGUCCAGAAGAGAAAAGCCAUUGGUGAAGAAGUGGCUCGACUGUUGGCGGCAGGAUUUAUCCGAGAGAUAUACCACUCCGAGUGGCUCGCUAAUGUCGUCAUGGUUCCUAAGAAGGACAAGUCGCUCCGAAUGUGCAUUGAUUUCAAGCACAUCAACCGGGCCUGCCCAAAAGAUCAUUUUCCUCUCCCUCGCAUAGAUCAAAUUGUUGACUCGACCGCGGGAUGUGAGAGGCUAUCUUUUUUAGAUGCCUACUCCGGGUACCACCAGAUCCGUCUGUACGGACCCGACGAGGUAAAAACAGCUUUCAUCACUCCAUUCGGGUGCUUCUGCUAUAUCACCAUGCCAUUCGGCCUCAAGAAUGCCGGAGCCACAUUUAUGCGAAUGAUUCAGAAGUGUCUACUCACUCAAAUCAGUCGGAAUGUGGAAGCAUAUAUGGAUGAUAUCGUUGUCAAGUCGCGAAAAGGUUCCGACCUGCUCGCUGAUCUCGCCGAAACAUUUGCCAACCUCAGAAGGUAUGAUAUCAAGCUCAAUCCAUCAAAGUGCACAUUUGGAGUUCCUGGUGGCAAGUUACUCGGUUUUCUCGUUUCCGAACGGGGAAUCGACGCUAACCCAGAGAAGAUUGGCACUAUUCUCCGAAUGAAACGCCCUGUGCGAGUGCACGAUGUCCAGAAGCUUACUGGAUGCUUGGCCGCAUUAAGUCGAUUCAUCUCACGACUCGGUGAAAAGGCAUUGCCUCUUUACCGACUGAUGAAGAAGACAGACAAGUUCGAGUGGACUCCAGAAGCUGAUGCAGCGUUUGCCGAGCUAAAAGCUCUGCUCUCCACCCAGCCGGUGCUUGCUGCUCCAAUCAGCAAAGAGCCUCUGUUGCUCUAUAUCGCAGCCACAGGACAAGUCGUCAGUACCGUGCUAAAGGUCGAGCGGGAAGAAGAAGGAAAAGCCCUCAAAGUUCAGCGCCCAGUGUAUUAUUUGUCUGAAGUCUUGACUCCAUCCAAGCAGAGAUAUCCUCAUUAUCAGAAGCUUGUAUAUGGAAUAUACAUGACCACAAAGAAGGUUGCUCAUUAUUUCUCUGAUCAUUCCAUCACAGUCGUCAGCGACGCUCCACUAUCAGAGAUUUUGCACAACAGAGAUGCAACUGGUCGAGUGGCCCAAUGGGCGAUUGAACUUCUUCCCCUUGAUAUCAAGUUUGAGGCAAAGAAAGCCAUUAAGUCCCAGGCAAUAGUAGAUUUCCUCGCUGAGUGGAUUGAACAGCAGCAGCCGACUGAAGUUCACUCGGAGCAUUGGACCAUGUUCUUUGAUGGCUCUAAGAUGUUGAAUGGUUCCGGUGCUGGGGUUGUCCUGGUUUCCCCCAGAGGAGAUAAGCUCAGAUAUGUGCUCCAGAUUCACUUUGAUUCCUCCAACAAUGAGGCAGAAUAUGAGGCCCUCUUAUAUGGGUUGCGCAUGGCCAUUUCACUCGGCGUCCGUCGCCUAAUGGUCUAUGGCGACUCGGAUUUAGUGGUCAAUCAGGUGAUGAAAGAGUGGGACGUGAGAAGCCCAGCCAUGACUGGAUACUGCAGUGCAGUGAGGAAGCUGGAAAAGAAGUUCAAGGGGUUGGAGCUCCAUCACAUACCCCGACUGAAAAAUCAAGCAGCUGAUGAUCUAGCAAAGAUAGGUUCCAAGAGAGAAGCCAUUCCGAGUGGUGUGUUCUUGGAGCAUAUACACACUCCGUCAGUCAAAGAAGAUCCUUUCACCGAAGAAACUCCACAGCCCAAGAGUGCCACAGAUCCGACUGAAGUUGAAGUCCCAGCGGUGGUCGACUUGAUCAUGGAGGUUUUGGUGGUCAUUCCCGACUGGACGAUUCCGUAUGUCGCAUAUAUCCUGAGAAAAGAGCUUCCGGAGGAUGAGGAAGAGGCUCGACAGAUCGUCCGUCGAUCUAAGGCCUUUACCGUUAUCAAAGGACAAUUAUACAGAGAAAGCGCGACUGGAGUUGGUCAGAAGUGCAUAACACCAGAAGAAGGUCGACUCAUCCUCAAUGAUAUUCACUCGGGGACCUGUGUGUUGGAAAUAUGCCCUAGAGGCAAUAAUAAAAGUAUUAUUAUUAUAUUUCCUUGUUCAUGAUAAUUGUCUUUUAUUCAUGCUAUAACUGUAUUAUCCGGAAAUCGUAAUACACGUGUGAAUACAUAGACCACAAUAUGUCCCUAGUAAGCCUCUAGUUGACUAGCUCGUUGAUCAAUAGAUGGUCACGGUUUCCUGGCUAUGGACAUUGGAUGUCGUUGAUAACGGGAUCACAUCAUUAGGAGAAUGAUGUGAUGGACAAGACCCAAUCCUAAGACUAGCACAAAAGAUCGUGUAGUUCAUUUGCUAGAGCUUUGCCAAUGUCAAGUAUCUUUUUCCUUAGACCAUGAGAUUGUGCAACUCCCAGAUACCGUAGGAAUGCUUUGGGUGUACCAAACGUCACAACGUAACUGGGUGGCUAUAAAGGUGCAUUACAGGUAUCUCCGAAAGUGUCUGUUGGGUUGGCACGAAUCGAGACUGGGAUUUGUCACUCCGUGUAAACGGAGAGGUAUCUCUGGGCCCACUCGGUAGGACAUCAUCAUAUGCGCAAUGUGACCAAGGAGUUGAUCACGGGAUGAUGUGUUACGGAACGAGUAAAGUGACUUGCCGGUAACGAGAUUGAACAAGGUAUCGGUAUACCGACGAUCGAAUCUCGGGCAAGUAACAUACCGAUAGACAAAGGGAAUUGAAUACGGGAUUGAUUAAGUCCUUGACAUCGUGGUUCAUCCGAUGAGAUCAUCGUGGAACAUGUGGGAGCCAUCAUGGGUAUCCAGAUCCCGCUGUUGGUUAUUGACCGGAGAACGUCUCGGUCAUGUCUGCAUGUCUCCCGGACCCGUAGGGUCUACACACUUAAGGUUCGAUGACGCUAGGGUUAUAAAGGAAGCUUGUAUGUGGUUACCGAAUGUUGUUCGGAGUCCCGGAUGAGAUCCCGGACGUCACGAGGAGUUCCGGAAUGGUCCAGAGGUAAAGAUUUAUAUAUAGGAAGUCCUGUUUCGGCCAUCGGGACAAGUUUCGGGGUCAUCGGUAUUGUACCGGGACCACCGGAAGGGUCCCGGGGGCCCACCGGGUGGGGCCACCUGCCCCGGGGGGCCACAUGGGCUGUAGGGGGUGCGCCUUGGCCUACAUGGGCCAAGGGCACCAGCCCCUAGAGGCCCAUGCGCCAAGAUAAAGGAAAAAGGGAAGAGUCCUAAAGGGGGAAGGCACCUCCGAGGUGCCUUGGGGAGGAUGGACUCCUCCCCAUCCUUAGCCGCACCCCUUCCUUGGAGGAGGGGGCAAGGCUGCGCCUCCCCCCUCUCCCUUGGCCCUAUAUAUAGUGGGGAAAAGGAGGAGCAAUCAUACCUAAGGCCUUUGGUUGCCUCCCUCUCCCUCCCGUGACACAUCUCCUCUCCCGUAGGUGCUCGGUGAAGCCCUGCAGGAUUGCCACGCUCCUCCAUCACCACCACGCCGUUGUGCUGCUGUUGGAUGGAGUCUUCCUCAACCUCUCCCUCUCUCCUUGCUGGAUCAAGGCGUGGGAGACGUCACCGGGCUGUACGUGUGUUGAACGCGGAGGUGCCGUCCGUUCGGCACUUGAUCAUCGGUGAUCUGAAUCACGACGAGUACGACUCCAUCAACCCCGUUCACUUGAACGCUUCCGCUUAGCGAUCUACAAGGGUAUGUAGAUGCACUCUCUUUCUACUCGUUGCUGGUCUCUCCAUAGAUAGAUCUUGGUGAUACGUAGGAAAAUUUUGAAUUUCUGCUACGUUCCCCAACAGUGGCAUCAUGAGCUAGGUCUAUUGCGUAGAUUCUUUGCACGAGUAGAACACAAAGUAGUUGUGGGCGUUGAUGUUGUUCAAUAUGCUUACCGUUACUAGUCCAAUCUUGUUUCGACGGUAUUGUGGGAUGAAGCGGCCCGGACCGACCUUACACGUACUCUUACGUGAGACAGGUUCCACCGAUUGACAUGCACUUGGUGCAUAAGGUGGCUAGCGGGUGCCAGUCUCUCCCACUUUAGUCGGAACGGAUUCGAUGAAAAGGGUCCUUACGAAGGGUAAAUAGCAAUUGGCAUAUCACGUUGUGGUCUUGCGUAGGUAAGAAACGUUCUUGCUAGAAACCCAUAGCAGCCACGUAAAACAUGCAACAACAAUUAGAGGACGUCUAACUUGUUUUUGCAGGGUAUGCUAUGUGAUGUGAUAUGGCCAAAAAGGAUGUGAUGAAUGAUAUAUGUGAUGUAUGAGAUUGAUCAUGUUCUUGUAAUAGGAUUCACGACUUGCAUGUCGAUGAGUAUGACAACCGGCAGGAGCCAUAGGAGUUGUCUUUAUUUUUGUAUGACCUGCGUGUCAUUGAAGAACGCCAUGUAACUUACUUUACUUUAUUGCUAAACGCGUUAGCCAUAGAAGUAGAAGUAGUCGUUGGCGUGACAAGUUCAUGAAGACACGAUGAUGGAGAUCAUGAUGAUGGAGAUCAUGGUGUCAUGCCGGUGACAAGAUGAUCAUGGAGCCCCGAAGAUGAAGAUCAAAGGAGCUAUAUGAUAUUGGCCAUAUCAUGUCACUACUCUAUUUGAUUGCAUGUGAUGUUUAUCAUGUUUAUGCAUCUUGUUUGCUUAGAACGACGGUAGUAAAUAAGAUGAUCCCUCAUUAAAAUUUCAAGAAGUGUUCUCCCCUAACUGUGCACCGUUGCUACAGUUCGUCGUUUCGAAGCACCACGUGAUGAUCGGGUGUGAUAGAUCCUUACGUUCACAUACAACGGGUGUAAGACAGAUUUACACAUGCAAUACACUUAGGGUUAACUUGACGAGCCUAGCAUGUGCAGACAUGGCCUCGGAACACAAAGACCGAAAGGUCGAGCAUGAGUCGUAUAGUAGAUACGAUCAACAUGAAGAUGUUCACCGACGGUAACUAGUCCGUCUCACGUGAUGAUCGGACACGGCCUAGUUGACUCGGAUCAUGUAAUCACUUAGAUGACUAGAGGGAUGUCUAUCUGAGUGGGAGUUCAUGAGAUGAACUUAAUUAUCCUGAACAUAGUCAAAAGACCCUUUGCAAAUUAUGUCGUAGCUCGCGCUAUAGUUCUACUGUUUAGAUAUGUUCCUAGAGAAAAUUAUAGUUGAAAGUUGAUAGUAGCGAUUAUGCGAUCAGUAGAAAGCUUAUGUCCUUAAUGCACCGCUCAGUGUGCUGAACCCCAACGUCGUUUGUCGAUGUUGCGAACAUCGGACAUACAUGUUUUGAUAACUACGUGAUAGUUCAGUUAAAUGGUUUAAGUAGAGGCACCAAAGACGUUUUCGAAACGUCGCGGAACAUAUGAGAUGUUUCGAGGGCUGAAAUUGGGAUUUCAGGCUCGUGCCCACGUCAAGAGGUUUGAGACCUCCGACGAUUUUCUUAGCCUGCAAACUAAGGAGAGAAGCUCAAUUGUUGAGCUUGUGCUCAGAUUGUCUGAGUACAACAAUCACUUGAAUCGAGUGGGAGUUGAUCUUCCAGAUGAAAUAGUGAUAGUUUCUCCGAAGUCAUUACCACCAAGCUGCUAGAGCUUCGUGAUGAACUAUAACAUAUCAGGGAUAGAUAUGAUGAUCCUUGAGAUAUUCGCGUUGUUUGACACCGCGAAAGUAGAAGUCAAGAAGGAGCAUCAAUUGUUGAUGGUUUGUGAAACCGCUAGUUUCAAGAAGGGCAAGGGCAAGAAGGGAUACUUCGUGAAACGGCAAUUCAGCUGCUGCUCUAGUGAAGAAACCCAAGGUUGAACCCAAACCCGAGACUAAGUGCUUCUGUAAAUAAGGGGAACAACCACUGGAGCAGGAUUACCCUAGAUACUUGGUAGAUGAGAAGGCUGGCAAGGUCGAUAGAAGUAUAUUGGAUAUACAUUGUGUUAAUGUGUACUUUGCUAGUACUCCUAGUAGCACCAGGGUAUUAGAUACCGGUUCGGUUGCUAAGUGUUAGCAACUCGAAACAAAAGGCUACGGAAUAAACGGAGACUAGCUAAAGGUGAGCUGACGAUAUGUGUUGGAAGUGUUUCCAAUGUUGAUAUGAUCAAGCAUCGCACGCUCCCUCUACCAUCGAGAUUUGGUGUUUGCGUUGAGCAUAGACAUGAUUGGAUUAUGUCUAUCGCAAUACGGUUAUUCAUUUAAAGAGAAUAAUGGUUACUCUAUUUAUUUGAAUAAUACCUUCAAUGGUCUUGCACCUAAAAUGAAUGGUUCAUUGAAUCUCGAUCGUAGUGAUACACAUUUUCAUGCCAAAAGAUAUAAGAUAGUAAUGAUAGUACCACUUACUUGUGGCACUGCCAUGUAAGUCAUAAUGGUAUAAACGCAUGAAGAAGCUCCAUGUUGAUGGAUCUUUGGACUCACUCAUUUUUGAAAAGUUUGAGACAUGCGAACCAUGUCUAUUGGUGUAUAUGCAUGAAGAAGCUCCAUGCAAAUGGACCGUUCGGACUCACUUGAUUUUGAAUCACUUGAGAUAUGCAAAUCAUACCACAUAGGCAAGAUGACUGAAAAGCCUCGGUUUCAAUAAGAUGGAACAAGAUAGCAACUUGUUGGAAGUAACACAUUUUGAUGUGUGCAGUCCAAUGAGUGCUGAGGCAUGCAGUGAAUAUCGUUAUGAUCUCACUUCACAGAUGAUUCGAGUAGAUGUUGAGAAUAUUUACUUGAUGAAACACAAGUCUGAAUUAUUGAAUGGUUCAAGUAAUUUCAGAGUGAAGUAGAAGAUCAUUGUGACAAGAGGAUAUAAUGUCUAUGAUAUGAUCAUAGAGAUAAAUAUCUGAGUUACGAGUUUUGGCACACAAUUAAGACAUUGUGGAAAUUGUUUCGCAAUUAAUACCGCCUGGAACACCAUAGUGUGAUGGUGUGUCCGAACAUCAUAGUUGCACCCUAUUGGAUAUGGUGCGUACCAUGAUGUCUCUUAUCGAAUUACCACUAUCGUUCAUGGGUUAGGCAUUAGAGACAACCACAUUCACUUUAAAUAGGGCACCACGUAAUUCCGAUGAGAUGACACCGUAUGCAUUAUGGUUUAGAGAAACCUAAGUUGUCGUUUCUUAAAGGUUUGGGGCUGCGACGCUUAUGUGAAAAAUUUUCAGGAUUAAGCUCGAACCCAAAGCGGAUAAAAUACAUCUUCAUAGGAAACCCAAAACAGUUGGGUAUACCUCCUAAUUCAGAUCCGAAAGCAAUAUGGAUUGUUUCUUGAAUCGGGUCCUUUCUCGAGGAAAGGUUUCUCUCGAAAGAGUUGAGUGGGAGGAUGGUGGAAACUUGAUGAGGUUAUUGAACCGUCUCUUCAGCUAGUGUGUGGCAGGGCACAGGAAGUUGUUCCUGUGGCACCUACACCAAUUGAAGUGGAAGCUUAUGAUAGUGAUCAUGAAGCUUCGGAUCAAGUCACUACCGAACCUCGUAGGACGACAAGGACACGUACUACUUCGGAGUGGUAAGGUGAUCCUGUCUUGAAGGUCAUGUUGCUAGACAACAAUGAACCUACGAGCUAUGGAGAAGCGAUGGUGGGCCCGAAUUCCGACAAAUGGUUAGAAGACAUGAAAUCCGAGAUAGUAUCCAUAUAUCAGAACAAAGCAUGGACUUUGAUGGACUUGCCCGAUGAUCGGCAAUCCAUUGAGAUAAAUGGAUCUUUUAAGAAGAAGACGGACGUGGAUGGUAAUGUCACCAUCUAUGAAGCUCGACUUGUGGCGAAGUGUUUUCCGACAAGUUCAAGGAGUUGACUACGAUGAGAUUUUCUCACUCGUAGCGAUGCUUAAAGUCCGUUGGAAUCAUGUUAGCAUUAGCUGCAUUUAUGAAAUCUGGCAGAUGGAUGUCAAGACAAGUUUCCUUACUAGUUUUAGUAAGGAAAGGUUGUAUGCAAUACAAUCAAAAAGUUUUGUCGAUCUUAAGGAUGCUAAAAGGUAUGCUAGCCCAGCGAUCGUUCUAAGGACUGGAGUGAGCAUCUCGGAGUUGGAAUGUAUGCUUUGAUGAUGAUCAAAGAUUUUGGGUUUGUACAAAGUUUACGAGAAACUUGUAUUUCCAAAGAAGUGAGUGGGAGCACUAUAGAAUUUCUGAUGAGUAUAUGUUGUUGACAUAUUGAUGAUCAGAAAUGAUGUAGAAUUUCUAGAAAGCAUAUAGGGUUAUUUGAAAGGUGUUUUUCAAUAGAAAACCUGGAUUAAGCUACUUGAACAUUGAGCAUCGAGAUCUAUAAGGAUAGAUCAAAAUGCUUAAUAAUACUUUCAAAUGAGCACAUACCUUGACAUGAUCUUGAAGGUGUUCAAGAUGGACCAGUCAAAGAAGGAGUUCUUGCCUGAGUUGUAAGGUACGAAGUUAAGACUUAAAGCUCGACCACGGCAGAAUAGAGAGAAAGGACGAAGGUCGUCCCCUAUGCUUAAGACAUAGGCUCUUCAGUAUGAUAUGCUGUGUACCGCACCUGAAGUGUGCCUUGCCAUGAGUCAGUCAAGGGGUACAAGAGUGAUCCAAGAAUGGCUCACAGGACAGCGGUCAAAGUUAUCCUUAGUAACUAGUGGACUAAGGAAUUUUCUCGAUUAUGGAGGUGGUAAAAGAGUUCGUCGUAAAGGUUACGACGAUGCAAGCUUGACACCUAUCCGGAUAGCUCUAAGUAGAGAUACCGGAUACGUACAAUGGGGCAACAAUUUAGAAUAGUUGCAAGUAGAACAGUUGUUUGGAAUAGCUCCAAAUAGAGCGUGGUAGCUGCAUCUAGGAGAUGACAUGGAGAUUUGUAAAGCACACACGGAUCUGAAAGGUUCAGACCCGUUGACUAAAACCUCUCUCACAAGCAACAUGAUCAAACAUAAAACUCAUUGAGUGUUAAUCACAUAGUGAUGUGAACUAGACUACUGACUCUAGUAAACUCUUGGGUAUUAGUCACAUGGCGAUGUGACCUGUGAGUGUUAAUCACAUGGCGAUGUGAACUAGAUUAUUGACUCUAGUGCAAGUGGGAGACUGUUGGAAAUAUGCCCUAGAGGCAAUAAUAAAAGUAUUAGUAUUAUAUUUCCUUGUUCAUGAUAAUUGUCUUUUAUUCAUGCUAUAACUGUAUUAUCCGGAAAUCGUAAUACACGUGUGAAUACAUAGACCACAAUAUGUCCCUAGUAAGCCUCUAGUUGACUAGCUCGUUGAUCAAUAGAUGGUCACGGUUUCCUGGCUAUGGACAUUGGAUGUCGUUGAUAACGGGAUCACAUCAUUAGGAGAAUGAUGUGAUGGACAAGACCCAAUCCUAAGACUAGCACAAAAGAUCGUGUAGUUCAUUUGCUAGAGCUUUGCCAAUGUCAAGUAUCUUUUUCCUUAGACCAUGAGAUUGUGCAACUCCCAGAUACCGUAGGAAUGCUUUGGGUGUACCAAACGUCACAACGUAACUGGGUGGCUAUAAAGGUGCAUUACAGGUAUCUCCGAAAGUGUCUGUUGGGUUGGCACGAAUCGAGACUGGGAUUUGUCACUCCGUGUAAACGGAGAGGUAUCUCUGGGCCCACUCGGUAGGACAUCAUCAUAUGCGCAAUGUGACCAAGGAGUUGAUCACGGGAUGAUGUGUUACGGAACGAGUAAAGUGACUUGCCGGUAACGAGAUUGAACAAGGUAUCGGUAUACCGACGAUCGAAUCUCGGGCAAGUAACAUACCGAUAGACAAAGGGAAUUGAAUACGGGAUUGAUUAAGUCCUUGACAUCGUGGUUCAUCCGAUGAGAUCAUCGUGGAACAUGUGGGAGCCAUCAUGGGUAUCCAGAUCCCGCUGUUGGUUAUUGACCGGAGAACGUCUCGGUCAUGUCUGCAUGUCUCCCGGACCCGUAGGGUCUACACACUUAAGGUUCGAUGACGCUAGGGUUAUAAAGGAAGCUUGUAUGUGGUUACCAAAUGUUGUUCGGAGUCCCGGAUGAGAUCCCGGACGUCACGAGGAGUUCCGGAAUGGUCCGGAGGUAAAGAUUUAUAUAUAGGAAGUCCUGUUUCGGCCAUCGGGACAAGUUUCGGGGUCAUCGGUAUUGUACCGGGACCACCAGAAGGGUCCCGGGGGCCCACCGGGUGGGGCCACCUGCCCCGGGGGGCCACAUGGGCUGUAGGGGGUGCGCCUUGGCCUACAUGGGCCAAGGGCACCAGCCCCUAGAGGCCCAUGCGCCAAGAUAAAGGAAAAAGGGAAGAGUCCUAAAGGGGGAAGGCACCUCCGAGGUGCCUUGGGGAGGAUGGACUCCUCCCCAUCCUUAGCCGCACCCCUUCCUUGGAGGAGGGGGCAAGGCUGCGCCUCCCCCCUCUCCCUUGGCCCUAUAUAUAGUGGGGAAAAGGAGGAGCAAUCAUACCUAAGGCCUUUGGUUGCCUCCCUCUCCCUCCCGUGACACAUCUCCUCUCCCGUAGGUGCUUGGCGAAGCCCUGCGGGAUUGCCACACUCCUCCACCACCACCACGCUGUUGUGCUGCUGUUGGAUGGAGUCUUCCUCAACCUCUCCCUCUCUCCUUGCUGGAUCAAGGCGUGGGAGACGUCACCGGGCUGUACGUGUGUUGAACGCGGAGGUGCCGUCCGUUCGGCACUUGAUCAUCGGUGAUCUGAAUCACGACGAGUACGACUCCAUCAACCCCGUUCACUUGAACGCUUCCGCUUAGCGAUCUACAAGGGUAUGUAGAUGCACUCUCCUUCUACUCGUUGCUGGUCUCUCCAUAGAUAGAUCUUGGUGAUUCGUAGGAAAAUUUUGAAUUUCUGCUACGUUCCCCAACACUGUGGUCAUCAUGCGUCCUCUCGGACCAUCGUGGCCAAAGCAUACCGAGCCGGAUUUUACUGGCCAAAGGCGAAUGAGAUGGCAAAAGAAAUAGUGGAUAAGUGCGAGGGAUGUCAAUUCUACUCGAAUAUGUCACACAAGCCCGCAUCAGCUCUGAAGACCAUCCCACUCGUCUGGCCUUUCGCAGUAUGGGGAUUGGACAUGGUCGGUCCUUUGAGAACAGGACGAAGUGGCUUCACGCAUGUACUGGUGGCAGUCGACAAGUUCACGAAGUGGAUCGAGGCUAAACCAAUCAAGAACCCUUACGCCAGUACUGCCGUUAGCUUCAUCAGGGAACUAAUAUUCAGAUAUGGAGUCCCGCACAACAUCAUUACGGAUAAUGGGUCGAACUUUGACUCGGAGGAAUUCAGAGAUUUCUGCAAUUCCCAAGGCACACGGGUCGACUACGCUUCAGUUGCCCAUCCGCAGUCGAAUGGACAAGCAGAGCGAGCUAAUGGACUGAUUCUUAAGGGAUUGAAGCCCCGACUGAUGCGUGAUCUCAAACACGCGGCUGGAGCUUGGGUCGACGAACUUCCCUCUGUACUCUGGGGACUGCGGACCACACCUAAUCGGUCGACCGGAAGAACUCCAUUCUUCUUGGUCUACGGAGCUGAAGCAGUCUUGCCGAGUGAUCUUCUCCAUAAUGCUCCCCGAGUUGAAAUCUACAACGAAGCAGAAGCUGAACAAGCGCGGCAGGACGCAGUCGACCUUUUAGAGGAAGAAAGGGAGAUGGCUCUGAUCCGCUCGACCAUCUACCAACAAGAUUUGCGUCGUUUUCAUGCCAGAAAUGUGAGAGGUCGAGCCUUCCAGGAAGGAGAUUUAGUGCUCCGAGUGGAUCAGCCCAAACCACACAAGCUUGCUCCUUCUUGGGAAGGCCCCUUCAUCGUCACCAAGGUUCUCCACAACGGGGCGUACCGUCUUUACAACGUCGAGCAUAAUAUCGACGAGCCCCGAGCUUGGAACGCGGAGCUACUCCGCCCAUUUUACACUUAAGUUUUAUCACUCGGAUGAGUUGCAAUAAAGUACUUCUGUAGUUCGUGGGCCUCAAAAUAAUAGUGUCAUAGUUCCUCCAUAAUUUCUGUCACUUUUUAUUUUUGUCCACAUAAAAUUCCCCCUCAGUGGGUGGCUUAGCUGCGAAUCCGUUUUGCCUAAGUUUGUAAAAAUCUUACCGAGUGGUGAGCCAGACUCCCACUCGGAGGCUUAGCCGCGAAUCUGUUUCGCCUAAGUUUAUCAAAAUCCUACCAAGUGGUAAGCCAGCCUUCCACUCGGAGGCUUAGCUGCAGUCCAAGGACUCGCCUAAGUUUAUCAAAAUCCUACCGAGUGGUAAGCCAGCCUUCCACUCGGAGGCUUAGCUGCAGUCCAAGGACUCGCCUAAGUUUAUCAAAAUCCUACCGAGUGGUAAGCCAGCCUUCCACUCGGAGGCUUAGCUGCAGUCCAAGCACUCGCCUAAGUUAUCAAAAUCCUACCGAGUGGAGAGCAACCCUCUCACUCGGGGGCUUAGCUGCAGUCCAAGCACUCGCCUAAGUUAUAAAAAUCCUACCGAGUGANNNNNNNNNNNNNNNNNNNNNNNNNNNNNNNNNNNNNNNNNNNNNNNNNNNNNNNNNNNNNNNNNNNNNNNNNNNNNNNNNNNNNNNNNNNNNNNNNNNNNNNNNNNNNNNNNNNNNNNNNNNNNNNNNNNNNNNNNNNNNNNNNNNNNNNNNNNNNNNNNNNNNNNNNNNNNNNNNNNNNNNNNNNNNNNNNNNNNNNNNNNNNNNNNNNNNNNNNNNNNNNNNNNNNNNNNNNNNNNNNNNNNNNNNNNNNNNNNNNNNNNNNNNNNNNNNNNNNNNNNNNNNNNNNNNNNNNNNNNNNNNNNNNNNNNNNNNNNNNNNNNNNNNNNNNNNNNNNNNNNNNNNNNNNNNNNNNNNNNNNNNNNNNNNNNNNNNNNNNNNNNNNNNNNNNNNNNNNNNNNNNNNNNNNNNNNNNNNNNNNNNNNNNNNNNNNNNNNNNNNNNNNNNNNNNNGAAUCCGUUUCGCCUAAGUUUGUAAAAAUCCUACCGAGUGGUGAGCCAGACUCCCACUCGGAGGCUUAGCUGCGAAUCCGUUUCGCCUAAGUUAUCAAAAUCCUACCGAGUGAAGAGCAACCCUCUCACUCGGGGGCUUAGCUGCAGUCCAAGCACUCGCCUAAGUUAUCAAAAUCCUACCGAGUGAAGAGCAACCCUCUCACUCGGGGGCUUAGCUGCAGUCCAAGCACUUGCCUAAGUUAUAAAAAUCCUACCGAGUGAAGAGCAACCCUCUCGCUCGGGGGCUUAGCUGCAGCCCUGUGCUCGCCUAAGUUACAAAAAUCCUACCGAGUGAAGAGCAACCCUCUCACUCNNNNNNNNNNNNNNNNNNNNNNNNNNNNNNNNNNNNNNNNNNNNNNNNNNNNNNNNNNNNNNNNNNNNNNNNNNNNNNNNNNNNNNNNNNNNNNNNNNNNNNNNNNNNNNNNNNNNNNNNNNNNNNNNNNNNNNNNNNNNNNNNNNNNNNNNNNNNNNNNNNNNNNNNNNNNNNNNNNNNNNNNNNNNNNNNNNNNNNNNNUGCCUAAGUUAUCAAAAUCCUACCGAGUGAAGAGCAACCCUCUCACUCGGGGGGCUUAGCUGCAGUCCAAGCACUCGCCUAAGUUAUAAAAAUCCUACCGAGUGAAGAGCAACCCUCUCACUCGGGGGCUUAGCUGCAGUCCAAGCACUUGCCUAAGUUAUCAAAAUCCUACCGAGUGGAGAGCAACCCUCUCACUCGGAGGCUUAGCCGCAGCCCAGUGCUAGCCUAAGUUAUCAAAAUCCUACCGAGUGAAGCGUAAAACCUCUCACUCGGGGGCUUAGCCACGGCUCAGUGCUCGCCUAAGUGGACUAAAGAAUAAGUCGAUUGCAGUAAAGGCGCCUUGCUUUGAACCUGCAAAAGACAUUUCGAGCCGAAGGCAAUCGUAUUCAAGCACCAAAUUCAAGUUUGAAUUGAUAUCUAAAGGAACCGAAAGUGCUCAGGCGUCAAGCCCGUUAAGGUUUGUCGGUUACAAUUCCACUCGGUAUACCGAGGCAAAUUUAAAGCGUCGAGCCAGGCAAAUUCAAAGCGUCGAGCCAGAAGAAGUUUUUUACCCCUCCUGUGGAGGGCUGGAAGGUGCAACGAAUUCAUCAAGGUCAAUUCCGUCGGCGAUCCGAGUGGCAGCUGCAAGGAAAGUUUCCAUAAAGGACCUGAAGUCGUGCUUCUUGGUAUUGGCCACCCGAAGGGCCGCCAGCUUCUCUUCUCGCGCAUCUUUGCAGUGGACUCGGGCCAGACACAGAGCGACAUCUGCACCACACCGAGCCGAGGACUUCUUCCACUCUUGCACUCGACCAGGGAUCGUGUUCAAGCGGGCCAUCAACGACUCAAGGUCAUUCUGAAGUGUCUCCUCAGGCCAGAGCGUCGAGUCGAUGCGCGAUGUGGCGGCCUUCAGCCUUGCGAGAUAGUCCACGACAGCUGCAACACGGGACUCCAGUCGGAAAACUUCCAUGGCAACUUCGUCGUUCACCGGAGAAUUGACGGGGUCGAGGUUUGGCUCCAGCCGGCUAGUUUCUUCUUCAAAGUUUUGACAAAAUUCUGCAAGGGUGAUCACUAAGUCAAGGGGAUGGUCGAAUGGAAAAAUCACAAUUGGAAAUGUCUGCCAAACAUAGAGGUUUACCUUCAAGCAUAAGAAAUAGCUUCUUGGCAAGGCCACUCAGGAAGGCCUCCAGUUCAGUUUUCUUCUCAGUUAAUUUGCUGACUUGGUCGGUCAGGGCAGCUUUAUCAGUUUUCAGUCGACUGACCUCCUUGUUGGCAAUCCCAAGAGCAGCUUUCAGAUUGGUAUUGUCUUGUUCGAGCUUGGUGACUGAAGCUAACUUCUCGUCAGCAAGCUUGAUCUUCUCAGCUAGCUCAAGGUCUUUCUUCUGCUGGGCCUCCCUUACCUUACCUGCAAGAUUACAGCAAGAUCAGAUUUUGAAGCAAGCAAGGGGAAAAGCAGUCGUCAAGGUCUCACCAAACAUACCUUCGGUCUCCUCCUUUGCCUUUGUCAGCUUCUCCUGAACCAGCUUCAAGCUCAGCUCGACUUGAGUAUGCUUGUGUUCCAGCUCUGAGUAGCGAGCCACAAGAUCACAAGAGUUCUGCGAAGAACCAAUCGACUAAAUGUCAAAUAUAAUUCACUUCCGAGUGAAAAAGGGAAAAACACACAUUUCUAAGACUACAUCCGAAUACAAGCAUUCGACCGUAGUCUCGGGGACUACACCCAGUGGGUGCACUCAGCGUGCCCCCACUAAUCCUGUUGAAGACAAAGUCGACCAGUCGACCUCAAAAAAAAGUGCGAGAUGCAUUCUCUAAGACUGUGAUCAACUGCAAGCAGUCGACCACAGUCUCGGGGACUACACCCAGUGGGUGCACUCAGCGUGCCCCCACCGGUUCGUGAAAUCCAGUCGACCAGUCGACUGACAGAAAGAUUGACAUCAUAAAGCCUAAGGCCGACUGCCAGCAGUCGACCUUAGCCUUGGGGACUACACCCAGCGGGUGCACUCAGCGUGCCCCCGCUAACUCGGAGUUUAUUCGACACACCCAGUGGGUGACUACUAUAAAUUCCAGAAAGGAAAAGUUUUUGGUAGCAUAUCCAACAGAACAAACAGUGGUCGACUGACCUGGACAUUGCUUUGGAGGGCAGAACUGGCGUCAUAAGCUGCCUGGCUCGCGUCCCGGAUGGUCUUCAGCUGCUCCAUCAUGAGUCCCGCCUGGCGUAUCGCCUCCUUCGCUGCGCCAGCUUGGUCUUCUGGGACGUGGUGCGUCGUGAAGAGGGAGGGCUGCUGAGCACUCGUCAGUGGAUUUGCGAAAGACACCGUGUGUCGAGUGGUGUUCUCUUCCUCCACAGUCAGAAUCUCAGGCGCCGUCACAUCCUGAGGCACCUUACUGGCAGACGCUUUCCGACUCCUCCUGCGCUUCAGCGGCUCUUCAUCCUCAUCAUCAUCAGGAAGAUUGAUAACAGUAUUGGGUGGAGCUGCGGAGAAGAAUCAGGAUCAGAGAUCGCGAGUCAGUCGACUAAGAACGGCGUUAAGAAUACAGUACCUGGGUUCGAAGUCGCUGCGUCCUCCAUCUCGUGGUCAUCAGCCCGGGCCGAGGUUUCAGAAGUAGCAGCACUGCAACUCCAAAGGAUCAGUCGACUAACUUCAGCGUCGACCAAAGACAAAGUUCACGCAAAAUGAGAAGAUUCAAACAACACGAUUACCCUGAUAUGGUAGGGAUGGACACCUUCAUCUUCGGCAGGAGCUUGGUCGGCUUCGACGAGGCCGCCCUGGGCUGCUUCGGCGCCUUUUCAGUCGGCACCGGAGAGAUGGUCCGGGGGCGCUUGGUCGACUGAGUAGUGGUCGCAACCCCCUUACCACGUUCGGUUGAAGGGUCGUGAACAAGCUUCGACCGCCUUUCCGAGCGCGGUGGUACGACCUCCUCCUCCUCUUCCUCCUCGUCUUCAACGUCAUCGUCAUCGCCGUCGUCAUCAUCAUCGUCGUCGUCAUCCCCUGCAACGUCCGAGUCCCACUCCUCCUCUUCCUGGCUCUCACCCCCGCUCGCCUCACCCUCCUCAGUCGGAGUUUGUGCCCCAUUGGGCAUCGAGUACAGCUCGGUGAGAGCCUAGCAGAUAUCAAGACAAGGAUCAGUCGACCAGUCGGCAGGAUAAACAGAAAUGAAUGCGACAAGAGCACAGUGGAGAGCAGAGCAAAUGUACCUUGUUUGGAUCGCUGUUGUGGUCGAGUGGAGGAAUCCUUCUGGCUCCGCGUGGGUUGUCUUUGUUUCCGGUAACGGCUACCAUCCAUCUUUCCAGAGUGACAUCGUCGACUGCUUCUGGAUGGACUCGAGUCUCGUCUUCGGUCCCAUAGUACAACCACAUGCAGUGGCUCCGGAACUGAAGAGGCUGGAUGCGACGCCUGAGGAAGACCUCCAAGAGGUCCAUGCCCGUCACUCCCUCCCGAACCAACUGCACCACGCGCUCCAUCAACAUCUUCACAUCAGCUUUCUCCUCCGGAAUCAACUUCAGAGAGGAGGGCUUGUUCACUCGAUCCAUGGUAAACUGUGGGAGUCCACUCGACUGCCCCGGCGUCGACUGGUCUGGGCAGUAGAACCAGGUCGACUGCCAGCCUCUGACCGACUCGGGAAAGGUCAUGGGCGGGAAGGUGCUCUUAUUCCUCACCUGGAUCCCCAGACCCCCACACAUUUGGACGACUCGGGUUCUCUCAUCACCUGGGCUCGCCUUCUUCACUGUCUGAGAGCGACACGUGAAUAUAUGUUUGAACAAACCCCAGUGCGGUCGACAGCCCAAGAAACCCUCACACAUGGACACGAACGCAGCAAGAUAGGCAAUGGAGUUUGGGGUAAAGUGGUGGAGCUGCGCUCCGAAGAAAUUCAAGAAGCCACGGAAGAAAACACUCGGCGGCAAGGAAAACCCACGAUCAACAUGGGUGGCCAAAAGUACACACUCACCCUCUUCUGGCUGGGGCUGCCACUCCUUCCCCGGAAGCCUAGCAGCCCCGUGAGGGAUCAAGCCCUCGUUGGCCAUGUCGAGGAGGUCAUUCUCUGUGAUGGUCGACUGGAUCCAGUCUCCUUGGACCCAGCCCUUCGGUAGGCGGGAUCUGGACGAGGACCCUCCGCGGCUGGUGGAUCUCCCCUUUGCCUUCUCCGACGCCGACGCCUUCUUUGCACGCUCCAGCGCCGCCGUCUUCUCCUUGGCCAUGGUCUCCGGCGAGAUGCGCGAAGGGAAGUGGUGCGGGGGCGAGAGCGAGCACGCUGAGCGGGGAAGAAGGAAGCAGAGAGAGGGAGAAAAUGCUGAGGCGCAGCACAGAAAUCCUCGCCGGGCGCAUUUAUAAGGUCCCUUCCGAGUGGCUGACAUGUGGGCCCGGUCGAUCUAAUCAUAUCAGGAACAGUUGCGCAGGCGGGAUACAUGGCGAAAAAAGUGGCGCGGAGAUCGAGGCGUCUAUGCCCCGUCCCAUCCGAACGCCGCGGUCCGCCCCGCUUCGCGCGCGUCCCCAAAUUUCGCAUCCCGCAGAAUCCGCGAACAGCAAAUCAGUCUGUCAGACGCGGUGUUUCCGGAGAUCCGUCGCUCGGAGAUCGUCGAAACCCGAAAGGUCACUCGACGCAAAAAUAGAAUGGAUUGAGUCGACUGAAGACAAGUUGCUCCCUGUCGACGAAGAGAUUCUUUGGUCCAGGACAACGCACGACCAGGGCACAAAGGUUAAUCGGAAACGACGUCAACUCCUUCCUCACUCGAAGCCUCAAUCCAUUCGGGGGCUAAUGAUGGGGUUAUGUACCUAGGGUAGGGUCAUGGACCUGAUCCAAGUACCUUGCCCAAGGACACCCUUAGAAGAAGUCAUCUUCCAGUCGACCAACGAGGGACACACUCGACUGACUUGAAGGACUCGACCACGAAGACUCACUCGACCACCAGGAGGUCAAGAGGCACUCUGCACUGCAACGGCCUGUAAUUAAGUAGGCUUUAUGAUAGUAAAGGCACUUUAUGUGGGGCGUUACCAGUAACGCCCCAGACUUAACUCACCUUAAACCCUCUCCGGCGUGGGCUGGCUGGGGUCCUGGCGCACUCUAUAUAAGCCACCCCCCUCCACAGGCAGAAGGGGUCGGCACCUUGUAGCUCAUAUACUCAUAAUCCACUCGACCGCCUCCGGGCUCCAAGACGUAGGGCUAUUACUUCCUCCGAGAAGGGCCUGAACUCGUACAUCCUUUGUGUUUACAACCUCUCCAUAGCUAGGACCUUGCCUCUCCAUACCUACCCCCACUCUACUGUCAGGCUUAGAACCAUGACACUUCGCCAAGCUGCUGCGGGAGGAGGACGAGGUGUAGCAGGGGGAGGGAGGCACCAAGACUUGGGGUGGGGCUGCCCUCCCCCCUGCCCUCCUUUAUAUAGGCCCCCAGGGGGGGGGGCGCCAGCCCUGGGAGAUUCAAUCUCCCAAGGGGGCGGCGGCCAGGGGGGGUGGAGUGCCCUCCAAGGCAAGUGGUGCGCCCCCCCACCUAGGGUUUCCAACCCUAGGCGCAGGGGGGCCCAGGGGGGGGGGGGGCGCACCAGUCCACUAGGGGCUGGUUCCCCUCCCACUUCAACCCACGGGGCCCUCUGGGAUAGGUGGCCCCACCCGGUGGACCCCCGGGACCCUUCCGGUGGUCCCGGUACAAUACCGGGUGACCCCGAAACUUUCCCGAUGGCCGAAACAACACUUCCUAUAUAGUUUUCUUUACCUCCGGACCAUUCCGGAACUCCUCGUGAUGUCCGGGAUCUCAUCCGGGACUCCGAACAACAUUCAGUUUGCUGCAUACUCAUAUUCAUACAACCCUAGCGUCACCAAACCUUAAGUGUGUAGACCCUACGGGUUCGGGAGACAUGCAGACAUGACCGAGACAGCUCUCCAGUCAAUAACCAACAGCGGGAUCUGGAUACCCAUGUUGGCUCCCACAUACUCCUCGAUGAUCUCAUCGGAUGAACCACGAUGUCGAGGGUUCAAGCAACCCCGUAUACUAUUCCCUUUGUUAGACGGUAUGUUACUUGCCCGAGACUCGAUCGUCGGUAUCCCGAUACCUCGUUCAGUCUCGUUACCGGCAAGUCACUUUACUUGUACCGUAAUGCAUGAUCCCGUGACCAGACACUUGGUCACUUUGAGCUCAUUAUGAUGAUGCACUACCAAGUGGGCCCAGUGAUACCUCUCCGUAACACGGAGUGACAAGUCCCAAUCUCGAUCCGUGUCAACCCAACAGACACUUUCAGAGAUACCUGUAGUGCACCUUUAUAGUCACCCAGUUACGUUGUGACGUUUGGUACACCCAAAGCACUCCUACGGUAUCCGGGAGUUACACGAUCUCAUAGUCUAAGGAAGAGAUACUUGACAUUGGAAAAGCUCUAGCAAAACGAACUACACGAUCUUGUGCUAUGCUUAGGAUUGGGUCUUAUCCAUCACAUCAUUCUCCUAAUGAUGUGAUCCCAUUGUCAACGACAUCUAAUGUCCAUAGUCAGGAAACCAUGACUAUCUGUUGACCAACGAGCUAGUCAACUAGAGGCUUACUAGGGACGUAUUAUGGUCUAUGUAUUCACACGUGUAUUACGAUUUCCGGAUAAAACAAUUAUAGCAUGAAUAAAAGACAAUUAUCAUGAACAGGGAAAUAUAAUAAUAAUCCUUUUAUUAUUGCCUCUAGGGCAUAUUUCCAACAGUCUCCCACUUGCACUAGAGUCAAUAAUCUAGUUACAUUGUGAUGAAUCGAACACCCAUAGAGUUCUGGUGUUGAUCAUGUUUUGCUCGCGAGAGAGGUUAAUCAACGGAUCUGCGACAUUCAGAUCCGUAUGUACUUUGCAAAUAUCUAUGUCUCGAUCUUGAACAUUUUCACGGAUGGAGUUGAAGCGACGCUUGAUGUGCCUGGUCUUCUUGUGAAACCUAGGCUCCUUGGCAAGGGCAAUAGCUCCAAUGUUGUCACAGAAGAGUUUGAUCGGCCCCGACGCAUUGGGUAUGACUCCUAGGUCGGUGAUGAACUCCUUCACCCAUAUUGCUUCAUGUGCUGCCUCCGAGGCUGCCAUGUACUCCGCUUCACAUGUAGAUCCCGCCACGACGCUCUGCUUGCAGCUGCACCAGCUUACUGCCCCACCAUUCAACAUAUACACGUAUCCGGUUUGUGACUUCGAGUCAUCCAGAUCUGUGUCGAAGCUAGUGUCGAUGUAACCCUUUACGACGAGCUCUUCGUCACCUCCAUAAACGAGAAACAUGUCCUUUGUCCUUUUCAGGUACUUCAGGAUAUUCUUGACCGCUGUCCAGUGUUCCUUGCCGAGAUUACUUUGGUACCUUCCUACCAAACUUACGGCAAGGUUUACAUCAGGUCUGGUACACAGCAUGGCAUACAUAAUAGAUCCUAUGGCUGAGGCAUAGGGGAUGACACUCAUCUCUUCUUUAUCUUUUUACCGUGGUCGGACAUUGAGCCGUGCUCAAUUUCACACCUUGCAGUACAGGCAAGAACCCUUUCUUGGACUGAUCCAUUUUGAACUUCUUCAAAAUCUUAUCAAGGUAUGUGCUUUGUGAAAGACCUAUGAGGCGUCUUGAUCUAUCCCUAUAGAUCUUGAUGCCUAAUAUGUAAGCAGCUUCUCCAAGGUCCUUCAUUGAAAAACACUUAUUCAAGUAGGCCUUAAUGCUGUCCAAGAAUUCUAUAUCAUUUCCCAUCAAAAGUAUGUCAUCUACAUAUAAUAUGAGAAAUGCUACAGAGCUCCCACUCACUUUCUUGUAAACGCAGGCUUCUCCAUAAGUCCGCAUAAACCCAAACGCUUUGAUCGUCUCAUCAAAGCGAAUGUUCCAACUCCGAGAUGCUUGCACCAGCCCAUAAAUGGAUUGCUGGAGCUUGCACACUUUGUUAGCAUUCUUAGGAUCGACAAAACCUUCCGGCUGCAUCAUAUACAGCUCUUCCUUAAGAUAACCGUUAAGGAAUGCCGUUUUGACGUCCAUCUGCCAUAUCUCAUAAUCAUAGUAUGCGACAAUUGCUAACAUGAUUCGGACGGACUUAAGCUUUGCUAUGGGAGAGAAAGUCUCAUCGUAGUCAAUCCCUUGAACUUGCCGAUAACCCUUAGCGACAAGUCGAGCUUUAUAGAUGGUGACAUUACCAUCCGCGUCCGUCUUCUUCUUAAAGAUCCAUUUGUUUUCUAUCGCUCGCCGAUCAUCGGGCAAGUCAGUCAAAGUCCAUACUUUGUUUUCAUACAUGGUAUCUAUCUCGGAUUGCAUGGCUUCUAGCCAUUUGUUGGAAUCUGGGCCCGCCAUCGCUUCUUCAUAGUUCGAAGGUUCACCGUUGUCUAACAACAUGAUUUCCAGGACAGGGUUGCCAUACCACUCUGGUGUGGAACGUGUCCUUGUGGACCUACGAAGUUCAGUAGCAACUUGAUCCGAAGUACCUUGAUCAUCAUCAUUAAUUUCCUCUCCAGUUGGUGUAGGCACCACAGGAACAUUUUCCUGAGCUACACUACUUUCCGGUUCAAGAGGUAGUACUUCAUCGAGUUCUACUUUCCUCCCAUUUACUCCUUUCGAGAGAAACUCUUUUUCCAGAAAGGAUCCGUUCUUGGCAACAAAGAUCUUGCCUUCGGAUCUAAGGUAGAAGGUAUUCCCAAUGGUUUCUUUGGGGUAUCCUAUGAAGACGCAUUUUUCCGACUUGGGUUCGAGCUUUUCAGGUUGAAGUUUCUUGACAUAAGCAUCGCAUCCCCAAACUUUUAGAAACGACAGCUUAGGUUUCUUCCCAAACCACAAUUCAUACGGUGUUGUCUCAACGGAUUUAGACGGUGCCCUAUUUAAAGUGAAUGUAGCUGUCUCUAGAGCGUAUCUCCGAAAUGAUAGCGGUAAAUCAAUAAGAGACAUCAUAGAUCACACCAUAUCCAAUAGAGUGCGAUUACGACGUUCGGACACACCGUUACGCUGAGGUGUUCCAGGCAGCGUGAGUUGUGAAACGAUUCCACAUUUUCUUAAGUGUGUACCAAAUUCGUGACUUAAAUAUUCUCCUCCACGAUCCGAUCGUAAGAAUUUUAUCUUUCGGUCACGUUGAUUCUCUACUUCAUUCUGAAAUUCCUUGAACUUUUCAAAGGUCUCAGACUUGUGUUUCAUCAAGUAGACAUACCCAUAUCUACUUAAGUCAUCAGUGAGAGUGAGAACAUAACGAUAUCCUCCGCGAGCCUCAACGCUCAUUGGACCACACACAUCAGUAUGUAUGAUUUCCAAUAAGUUGGUUGCUCGCUCCAUUGUUCUAGAGAACGGAGUCUUGGUCAUUUUUCCCAUGAGGCAUGGUUCGCAUGUGUCAAAUGAUUCAUAAUCGAGAGACUCUAAAAGUCCAUCAGCAUGGAGCUUCUUCAUGCGCUUGACACCAAUGUGACCAAGGCGGCAGUGCCACAAGUAUGUGGGACUAUCGUUAUCAACUUUACAUCUUUUGGUAUUCACACUAUGAAUAUGUGUAACAUUACGCUCGAGAUUCAUUAAGAAUGAACCAUUGACCAUCGGGGCAUGACCAUAAAACAUAUCUCUCAUAUAAAUAGAACAACCAUUAUUCUCGGAUUUAAAUGAGUAGCCAUCUCGUAUCAAACGAGAUCCAGAUACAAUGUUCAUGCUCAAACUUGGCACUAAAUAACAAUUAUUGAGGUUUAAAACUAAUCCCGUAGGUAAAUGUAGAGGUAGCAUGCCGACGGCGAUCACAUCGACCUUGGAACCAUUCCCGACGCGCAUCGUCACCUCGUCCUUCGCCAGUCUCCGCUUAUUCUGCAGCUCCUGCUGUGAGUUACAAAUAUGAGCAACGGCACCGGUAUCAAAUACCCAGGAGUUACUACGAGUACUGGUAAGGUACACAUCAAUUACAUGUAUAUCAAAUAUACCUUUAGUGUUGCCGGCCUUCUUGUCCGCUAAGUAUUUGGGGCAGUUCCGCUUCCAGUGACCCUUCCCUUUGCAAUAAAAGCACUCAGUCUCAGGCUUGGGUCCAUUCUUUGACUUCUUCCCGGCAACUGGCUUACCGGGCGCGGCAACAUCUUUGCCGUCCUUCUUUAAGUUCUUCUUACCCUUGCCCUUCUUGAACUUAGUGGUCUUAUUGACCAUCAACACUUGAUGUUCUUUCUUGAUUUCAACCUCUGCUGACUUCAGCAUUGAAAAUACUUCAGGAAUGGUCUUCACCAUCCCCUGCAUAUUGUAGUUCAGCACAAAGCUCUUGUAGCUUGGUGGGAGCGACUGAAGGAUUCUGUCAAUGACCGCCUCGUUCGGGAGGUUGAUCUCCAGCUGGGACAGGCGGUUGUGCAACCCAGACAUUUUGAGUAUGUGCUCACUGACAGAACUGUUUUCCUCCAUCUUACAACUGUAGAACUUGUCGGAGACUUCAUAUCUCUCGACCCGGGCAUGAGCUUGGAAAACCAUUUUCAGCUCCUCGAACAUCUCAUAUGCUCCGUGUUUCUCAAAACGCUUUUGGAGCCCCGGUUCUAAGCUGUAAAGCAUGCUGCACUGAACGAGGGAGUAAUCAUCAGCACGUGAUUGCCAAGCAUUCAUAAUGUCUUGGUUCUCUGGGAUGGGUGCUUCACCUAGCGGUGCUUCUAGGACAUAAUAUUUCUUGGCUGCUAUGAGGAUGAUCCUCAGGUUCCGGACCCAGUCUGAAUAGUUGAUGCCAUCAUCUUUCAGCUUGGUUUUCUCUAGGAACGCGUUGAAGUUCAUGUUGACAUGAGCGUUGGCCAUUUGAUCUACAAGACAUAUUUUGCAAAAGUUUUAGACUAAGUUCAUGAUAAUUAAGUUCAUCUAAUCAAAUUAUUUAAUGAACUCCCACUCAGAUUAGUCAUCUAAGUGUUACACGAUCCGAGUCGACUAGGCCAUGUCCGAUCAUCACGUGAGACGGACUAGUCAUCAUCGAUGAACAUCUCCAUGUUGAUCGUAUCUUCCAUAUGACUCAUGUUCGACCUUUCGAUCUCUGUGUUUCGAGGCCAUGUCUGUACAUGCUAGGCUCGUCAAGUUAACCCUAAGUGUUCUACAUGUGUAAAUCUGUCUUACACCCGUUGUAUGUGAACGUAAGGAUCUAUCACACCCGAUCAUCACGUGGUGCUUCGAAACGACGAACUUUAGCAACGGUGCACAGUUAGGGGGAACACUUUCUUGAAAUUAUUAUAAGGGAUCAUCUUAUUUACUACCGCCAUUCUAAGUAAACAAGAUGCAUAAAACAUAAUAAACAUCACAUGCAAUUAUAUAGUAGUGACAUGAUAUGGCCAAUAUCAUAUAGCUCCUUCGAUCUCCAUCUUCGGGGCUCCAUGAUCAUCUUCGUCACCAGCAUGGCACCAUGAUCUCCAUCAUCAUGAUCUCCAUCAUUGUGUCUUCAUGAAGUUGUCACGCCAACGACUACUUCUACUUCUAUGGCUAACGCGUUUAGCAAUAAAGUAAAGUAAUUUACAUGGCGUUCUUCAAUGACACGCAGGUCAUACAAAAAAUAAAGACAACUCCUAUGGCUCCUGCCGGUUGUCAUACUCAUCGACAUGCAAGUCGUGAUUCCUAUUACAAGAACAUGAUCUCAUACAUCACAAUAUAUCAUUCAUCAUUCAUCACAACUUCUGGCCAUAUCACAUCACAUGACAAUUGCUGCAAAAACAAGUUAGACGUCCUCUAAUUGUUGUUGCAUCUAUUACGUGGCUGCAAUUGGGUUCUAGCAAGAACGUUUUCUUACCUACGAAUAACCACAACGUGAUUUUGUCAACUUCUAUUUACCCUUCAUAAGGACCCUUUUCAUCUAAUCCGCUCCAACUAAAGUAGGAGAGACAGACACCCGCUAGCCACCUUAUGCAACUAGUGCAUGUCAGUCGGUGGAACAUGUCUCACGUAAGCGUACGUGUAAGGUCGGUCCGGGCCGCUUCAUCGCACAAUACCGCUGAAGCAAGAAAAGACUAGUAGCGGCAAGCAAGUUGACAAGAUCUACGCCGUGUUCUACUCGUGCAAUAGAGAACUACGCAUAGACCUAGCUCAUGAUGCCACUGUUGGGGAACGUUGCAGAAAAUAAAAAAUUUUCCUACGGUUUCACCAAGAUCCAUCUAUGAGUUCAUCUAAGAAACGAGUGAAAGGGGAGAUGCAUCUACAUACCACUUUGUAGAUCGCGAGCGGAAGCGUUCAAAAGAACGGGGUUGAGGUCGUUCUCGUCGUGAUCCUAUCACCGGAGAUCCUAGCGCCGAACGGAUGGCACCUCCGCGUUCAACACACGUACGGUCAGCAUGACGUCUCCUCCAUCUUGAUCCAGCAAGGGGGAAGGAGAGGUUGAUGAUGAUCCAGCAGCACGACGGCGUGGUGGUGGAUGCAGCAGAACUCCGGCAGGGCUUCGCCAAGCUGCUGCGGGAGGAGGACGAGGUGUAGCAGGGGGAGGGAGGCGCCAAGACAUGGGGUGCGGCUGCCCUCCCCCCUGCCCUCCUUUAUAUAGGCCCCCAGGGGGGGGGCGGCCCUGGGAGAUUCAAUCUCCCAAGGGGCGGCGGCCAGGGGGGUGGAGUGCCCCCCAAGGCAAGUGGUGCGCCCCCCACCUAGGGUUUCCAACCCUAGGCGCAGGGGGGGCCCAAGGGGGGGCGCACCAGCCCACUAGAGGCUGGUUCCCCUCCCACUUCAGCCCACGGGGCCCUCCGGGAUAGGUGGCCCCACCCCGUGGACCCCCGGGACCCUUCCGGUGGUCCCGGUACAAUACCUGGUGACACCGAAACUUUCCCGAUGGCCGAAACAACACUUCCUAUAUAGUUUUCUUUACCUCCGGACCAUUCCGGAACUCCUCGUGACAUCCGGGAUCUCAUCCGGGACUCCGAACAGCAUUUGGUUUGCUGCAUACUCAUAUUCAUACAACCCUAGCGUCAUUGAACCUUAAGUGUGUAGACCCUACGGGUUCGGGAGACAUGCAGACAUGAUCGAGACAGCUCUCCGGUCAAUAACCAACAGCGGGAUCUGGAUACCCAUGUUGGCUCCCACAUACUCCUCGAUGAUCUCAUCAGAUGAACCACGAUGUCGAGGGUUCAAGCAACCCCGUAUACUAUUCCCUUUGUUAGACGGUAUGUUACUUGCCCGAGACUCGAUCGUCGGUAUCCCAAUACCUCGUUCAGUCUCGUUACUGGCAAGUCACUUUACUCGUAUCGUAAUGCAUGAUCCCAUGACCAGACACUUGGUCACUUUGAGCUCAUUAUGAUGAUGCACUACCGAGUGGGCCCAGUGAUACCUCUCCGUAAUACGGAGUGACAAAUCCCAGUCUCGAUCCGUGUCAACCCAACAGACACUUUCAGAGAUACCUGUAGUGCACCUUUAUAGUCACCCAGUUACGUUGUGACGUUUGGUACACCCAAAGCACUCCUACGGUAUCCGGGAGUUACACGAUCUCAUGGUCUAAGGAAGAGAUACUUGACAUUGGAAAAGCUCUAGCAAAACGAACUACACGAUCUUGUGCUAUGCUUAGGAUUGGGUCUUGUCCAUCACAUCAUUCUCCUAAUGAUGUGAUCCCGUUGUCAACGACAUCUAAUGUCCAUAGUCAGGAAACCAUGACUAUCUGUUGACCAACGAGCUAGUCAACUAGAGGCUUACUAGGGACGUAUUGUGGUCUAUGUAUUCACACGUGUAUUACGAUUUCCGGAUAAUACAAUUAUAGCAUGAAUAAAAGACAAUUAUCAUGAACAGGGAAAUAUAAUAAUAAUCCAUUUAUCAUUGCCUCUAGGGCAUAUUUCCAACACAAAACAGGACUUCCCAUAUAUAAAUCUUUACCUCCGGACCAUUCCGGAACUCCUCGUGAUGUCCAGGAUCUCAUCCGGGACUCCGAAAAACAUUCGGUAACCAUGUAUAUCUAUUCUCUAUAACCCUAGAGUCAUCGAACCUUAAGUGUGUAGACCCUACGGGUUCGGGAACCAUGUAGACAUGACCGAGACAACUCUCCGGUCAAUAACCAACAGCAGGAUCUGGAUACCCAUGUUGGCUCCCACAUGUUCCACGAUGAUCUCAUCGGAUGAACCACGAUGUCAAGGACUCAAUCAACCCCGUAUACAAUUCUCUUUGUCUAGCGGUAUUGUACUUGCCCGAGAUUCGAUCGUCGGUAUCCCGAUACCUUGUUCAAUCUCGUUAUCGGCAAGUCUCUUUACUCGUUUCGUAACACAUCAUCCCAUGAUCAACCCCUUGGUCACAUUGUGCACAUUAUGAUGAUGUCCUACCGAGUGGGCCAAGAGAUACCUCUCCGUCACAUGGAGUGACAAAUCCUAGUCUCGAUUCGUGCCAACCCAACAGACACUUUCGAAGAUACCCGUAGUGCACCUUUAUAGCCACCCAGUUAUGUUGUGACGUUUGGUACACCCAAAGCAUUCCUACGGUAUCCGGGAGUUGCACAAUCUCAUGGUCUAAGGAAAUGAUACUUGACAUUAGAAAAGCUUUAGCAUACGAACUACACGAUCUUUGUGCUAGGCUUAGGAUUGGGUCUUGUCCAUCACAUCAUUCUCCUAAUGAUGUGAUCCCGUUAUCAACGACAUCCAAUGUCCAUUGUCAGGAAACCGUAACCAUCUAUUGAUCAACGAGCUAGUCAACUAGAGGCUUACUAGGGACAUGGUGUUGUCUAUGUACCCACACAUGUAUUUGAGUUUCCUAUCAAUACAAUUAUAUCAUGGAUAAUAAACGAUUAUCAUGAACAAGGAAAUAUAAUAAUAAUAACUAAUUUAUUAUUGCCUCCAGGGCAUAUUUCCAACAGACCAUCCUCAACUCUCGGUGCACCAUAGAAACCCGUCACCCUCCAUUGCUUCGCGCCAUUAAAUUUCUUCCGCACCAUCAUAUCAAUAUGGCCGGAACUAUAGUUCAUCAACUCUGCAUCCAGUUCCCCGGACCAAAACAUACCAAUUCCCCCACUGAGACCGGCGCUGCUAACUACAAAACAGCCCGCGAACCCAAGCAGGAGUUCCAGACUUUCCACUCUAUUUGCCGAACUCUUCGUCUCCAUAACAAAUAGGAGAUCGGGCCCUUCUUGCUUCACAACAUUGCGAAGCUCACGAACUGCCGCUGGGUUCCCAAGCCCCCGGCAGUUCCAACUUAGGCAACUCAUUGUUCCCGGCGGGGCUGCAACGCAGCCACCGCCGAUUCAUCCAAAUUGUGAGAAUUGGUGGGUGUGGGCUUUUUCUUCUUCGGCUCCCGUUCUGUCACAACAUCUCUGUCCUCACCCACCGAAGCAUUCUCUCCCGCUCUGAAAACCACCAUUGCAUUGGUGGCUUCUUUCUCUUGCACCUGCUCCACGAUAGUCACCGGUGGCAGUGCAAUCUGUCUAUACACUAGUUUCUGACUUUGAGGACCUCCCUUCCUCUUGUUCUUUUGAUUGUUUUUCUUUGGAGGGGAGACAACCUCAGUAUAAGCAUCUGUAUUUGCAUCUGUUUUUGCGCCUGAUUUUGCAUUCGUCGUAGGAGCCUCCUUGUUGCUAUUCUGACUAGAUUGCUGCUCUUUAGACGAGCCAUCGCUGGACACUGUUUUCUUCUUCUCUUCCAGCGCUCUCAAGCUCGUUUUAAACGGUAAAUCGCCGUUCUCAUCCGGUGAUCUAGGCGUCGGACAGUGAAGAUCCGAGUGGCCCAAUCGUCCGCACGAGAAGCAGAAAUUGGGUACCUGCUCGUACUGUAUGUCAUACCAAUCCCUGCCGCCUCUCGCUGCAGAAUCGAUCAAUAUCCACUUGCGCAGAGGCUUCCUCACAUCUAUGGUCACCCUUGCACGCAGGAACCCCCCAACGGGAUUAAACUGGACCGCAGAUGCGUUCGUAUCAAUCUGCCUGGCCACAACUUUGCCCCUUGUGUCACUCCUCAAGUUGAACGGCAGGUUCAAAACCCUAGCCCAGAUCCUGAGUUUGUCAAAUUGCAGUUCUGACGGCUGCAUACUCUCCUUGAACUCAGUAAGAAUCACAACAUGCUUGCUCACAUGCCAUGGUGAACCCUCCCACACGCGAUCGCGAUCGUGCUGAGUCUCAAAUUCCGCCACAAAGAUGUUCUCACCAGCCGAUCGGAACACCAGACCUCUAGGGUUCCCCCAAGCCGGCCGCAAAGCGUUGGCAAUCGUCUGAAUAUGCAACAAAUUCUGAUGGAGAACCUUCCCCGCAAUCGCCCAGGUUGGCCUUGCGCCGUCAUCAACAUCAUCCAGGAUCAAUGGCGUUGCCUCCUCUUCCGUGAGAUCUAAUUUCCCCAUGGCUUCCUCCAUGCGUGCCCUCGCUGCCCUUGGCGAGAGAGCAUCCUUCCCGCUCGACGAACCUGAUGCCGCAGCCAUCAGGAUUCCCUUUGUGCAGCCCGCCGGCAAGAAUUGACCGACGGCCGCCCUCUUUCCACUCGAAACCCUAAUCGCCUCCUGAGGUGGCUCCUAGUUUUUCGGGGAACGCCGCAACACUCGUCACAUGAUUCUUGCGGGAUCCUGAAUUAGACCGUUGAUAUUCUGUUGAUCCUAAAAGAUACAUGUACUCCCCCUUAGAUUAUUUUUUAACAUCAACACAAACGAUCAUAUAUAUACGCGCAUACAAAAGACCUCGCAUGAAAUCGUUUUUCUUUUUUCUUGUUGCAGCCAAGCCCCCCAAUAAACCUCAACAAACCCCAGCCAGUCAGCCACCCAUGUUGCGCACGGCGAUCGCCGCGGCGGCGCGGCGGCGCAUCUCCCUUGCCCCGGCAAGAUUCGCGCACGAGCUCGCGCAGGCGCAGGCGCAGGCCCAGACGGCCGUCCCUGAUCGUCGGCAGGAGAAUCUCGAUGCUGUACAGGAGAAUCUCGAUACAGGAGAAUCGUUGAGCCGUCGUGGAUCCCGCUCUACAGGAGAAUCUCGAUACUGUACGGCAGGCCGCCGGGAAUGGUGGCGGCGGAGAUGGACAACUAUCUCCGCAAGAGGCGCCCGCUCUCGGCGGACCAGAUCGUCGCCUACGUCCGGAAGCUCCGCAAGUUCAAGAGCAACGCUUGCGCGCUCGAGGUGAGCCCCCACCCCCAAUCUCCCCGCAAAAUGGUGGCCUGAUUUGGAUCGGGAUGCGUUUGCGCCUUCAUAUAUAUUGCUGUUCGAUACCACAUUUGACAUACUAGCGUGUUUCUGCUGAAAGCAGCGGGUUCGGGAUAAACCUCCAUUCUGCAUUCUCUCUCUGGAUAAUUUUGAUUUAAGGUCACACUAUUGGAAAUGCACGAUGCAAACUGAAUGUUCCUUUUAAGACUCAUUGUGUUGGCAAUCACCACAAUGGUAAUUUGAUAUCUGACGCUAACUGAAACUAGGUGCCAUACUGCACAUUGCUCCAGCUUCAGAGGUCAGCAUUAUAGGUGCCAUACUGCACAGAGCUCCAGCUUCAGGGGCUCUGAAGGGCAAUUGGAGAACCAAGGACAUGAUAGAAGUUGGAUGUUCUCCACGAACUCCAGAAGGGGGCUCUGAGGGCAUCUCCCGCCGUUGGCCCCCAGGGGGCGUCUAAAAGCGCCGCCUGGGGAUGAGCCGGCGCAAAAAAUGGCCCUGGGGACGAGUCGGUCCCCAGCCGUCGGCCCCCCAGGGCUGCCCCAGGCGCGUAUUAAAAAAAAAAGAAGGACCGUUCGGCGAAGCUAUGAUAAAAAGUAGUUAAAUUUCGGCUAAACAUGGCAAAUUUCGGCGAAAUUCGCGCAUUUUCAUUACAUUAACCUAAUCUAAAAAAGAAAGGGGCUGAAGUCGUCGCCGCCAUCGUCGUCGUCGGCCUUCUCCUCCUUGACGCGGGCGCCCCUGCUGGACCCGGCGUCGCCAUGGCAGACUGGCGGCGGCGCGUCGUCGUCGUCGUCGUCGCUGUCGCAUAGGACAACGACCCCGUCUUCAUCGCGGCCGCGUCGGCGCUCCUCGAAGCGGCGCAGGGCAGCGCGCUGACGCUCCUUCACCUUAUCCCGGCGCGCCUUCUCCAUCGCAAUGGAGUCCUGGCGCGCCCAUUCUAGGGCCGCGUCGUCGUCGUCGAACUCCGCCUUCACCGGCGCCAGCCCUGGCUCCGUCUUUGGCUUGACGAAGCGCGGAGGAGCCGACGAGGAGGAGGCGCGCCGGCCGCCCUCGUUGAUGACGAUGCCGGCGCUGCGAGUGCGCCGGCUGAGCGGCGACUCCGCCGCGGGCUCGGCCUUGACGCCGAGCAGGGCCGGAGUGCCGGAGGAGUGCGAUGAGGAUCGGGAGGAGGAAGAGGAGGAGGACCCGAACCUCCUUGGCGCCCAUGGCCCGACGCGUCGGUGCUGCACCGGGGGGUACGCCAACGGCGGGUCGUUGCCGCCCUCGAGGUACGUGAGCACGCCCUCGAGUGUGCGGCCGGGGACACCCCACCAGAGGUGGCGCCCCUCGCUGUUCUGCCGGCCGCCGACCACCGGCGCGCCGUUGGUGGACGCCAAUCGCUGCUGCUGGCGGCGCUCGAAAUACGCCGCCCAGGCCGCGUGGUUGUCGGCGGCGUACUGGGGGAGGGAGAGUUGGGCGUCGGUGAGGGACGCGCGCACGAUCUCGACCUCCUCGGCGAAGUACUUCGGCUUCGCCACGGCGUCGGGCAACGGGGGAAUGGGCACUCCCCCGACGCUGAGUCUCCACCCCGUUGGCCCAGCGCGCAUGUCCGGCGGCGCCGGGAUGUUCGCCUCGAACAGGAGCCAGGACUCCUGUUCGCGGAGCGAACGGCGGCCGAAGCCGUUGGCCGCCGCCUCGUCUCCGGGGAAGCGUUCUGCCAUGGCGACGGCGGGGCUGGGCGGGCUCGGGAGAGGUAGAGGGAGGGGCUAGGCGGCGGCGCUCGGGAGAGGCAGGGAGAGGGAGGGGCUGGACGGCGGCGAGGGGCGGGGCUGGUGUGGGCACAGGCGAGUGGAGGCCGCCGGCUUUUAUAGCUGGGCCGCGCCCGUGUGUACGCGUGCGAGGGAGGGGAGGCGUCGGCGCGCCGUCCCGUGAAGCGCCGUCCGUGAGGAAUCAAUGGCAAGGCUGACCAGCGGCAGCCUUGCCAUUGAUUCCCCGCGGGAACCGAGGCCGUUGGGGGAAGACGAGGCGCCGAGUCGCUGACGCGGCUGGCCCGUGUCUUUUUCGCGCCAAAACAGCUCGCCCCGGCGCCCCCGGGCGCCCCCCAGCGCGCCGGGUUCGGGCUGGAUCCGCCGGCGCUGUUUUCGGCCCAAACCGGCGAAAAUCGGGCUCCUGGGGGCGCGACUGGGCCGUUUUUUCGGCGCCGGCGCGAAAAAAUCGCCUGGGAAGGCUUUUCUGGGGGCGCGGCUGGAGAUGCCCUUUUGAUGGUAGGUUUCUUUCGAAGCCAGGCCUUCUGGAGGCGUACGGGACAUUCAAGUGGCCUUGGGUUCCCGGUACCGCCCUUUCCUCUCACAACACUGUUUCUCAGCCUUGGGUAGGAUCUUGGGAGUCCCCUCCCCUCCCUCCUUCAUCCAUAAGUGUCCUUUCGGCUCUCACAAUGCUGUCUCUUGGUCUUGGAUCAGCCCGGGUAGGGAUUGACUCGGGCACACACUGGCACAGGAAUCGGGGACUGUAAUCCAUUUCCGAACACCAGUAAUCUAGGAAUAUUUGUACAGGCAUAUGUUAAGGUUAGGACUGAAUCCAAAAUAAUACAUGUCGCUACAAUAAAGAGAUAGUAUGGGAGCAUUUUCCCUCACUGCCCCCAAAAAAUGAUUCUUCUACAACCAGUAUUUCCAAUCAAUUAGAAACUCAGUUAUGAACCCCAUGACUGAUAAUUAUGAAUGCUGUCACCAGAGAGAAUACAUUGAGAGAGAAAAUGCAUUUGCCAUGAUCUAGUUCAUUAGAACAGUGAAUUUGUGUUGUAGUUAACAAGGUGUAUUGUUUCUAACAGACAAUUGCUAAAAACAUUUUGAUGGGUAAUUUUUUCAAACAAGCGUCUCUUUCAUGUGCUGUACAAAUAACCGCUGAUCAAACAUAUACAGUCUGAGAUUUGAACAAUGGGGUCUACCACAAAAACAAUUGAUGGUUAAGAAUGGUCUUAAAUAGAGUUAAUUUCCAAUUUUGGGGAAUUAAUCUGCCAUUGGUAGCUUGCCCGUAACACACUCUACUGCUAAGUCGGGGAUGUCGAUUCUCACACAUAAAUAGGCAAAAACCUGGAGAAAAUAUGUCCUAGAGGGAAGGAAAGUAAGACUUCACAAUAGGAAAUGAAGGUUCAAGAUCUAACAGUAGAGGUUUAAAUUAUGAUGGCAUUAAUGCGUCUCUCCUAAGGAUCUUUUUUAUGUUCACUGUAGAGAUUUCUUAUGCUGUUCUGGUGCAACCUCUUUCUGAGCAGAGUAUCUUUUUUAUGUUCACUGUAUAAUAUCCAGCUGUGUUGUUUUGUAUCCAGUUGAUGGACUGGAUGGAAUCUCGUGGAGCAAAGUUGAUACCUGGGCAUCAAGAGCUGCGGCUUGGCCUGGUUUCAAAAGUGCAUGGGAUACAGGCAGCUGAGGAAUAUUUCUGGAGCCUUCCUGAUAAGUCAAAGAAAACUUAUUCAUCUUUGCUUAACUGCUGUACAACAACUGAGAAGCUGAAAGUCAUGGACAUGGUUCCAAAUACACUGUUGUACAACAACUUGAUGACUUUGUACCAAAAGGCGGGCCAGCCAGAGAAAAUCCCCUCCACAUUUGAAGCAAUGCGAGAAAGUGGUAUAAGUGCUAACAAUUUUACAUACUCCAUAUUGAUAGAAAGCUAUGUUACAAUGAAUGACCUGGAGGCUGCAGAGAAAGUCCUGGAAGAAUUGCAGAAGGUGGCUCCAGUUCACUGGUCCUUGUACACUAUGAUGGCAAACAAUUACCUCAAACAAGAGCUGUUUGGAAAGGCAGAAGUGGCUCUAAAGAAAGCUGAGGAAGUCAUGGAUAAAGCUGAGUUGUUGUCCUGGCAUUUCCUCAUCUAUUUGUAUGCCCGUUCUGGCAAUUCAACCGAGCUUAAGAGGAUCUGGGAGUCUUUGAAGUCCACAUUCAAGAAAUGCUCGAACAAAAGUUAUCUUGUAAUGCUUGAAGCUCUGAAUAUGAUUGAUGACUUUGAGUCUUUGCAGCAAAUCUUUCUGGAGUGGGAAUCGAGUCAUGGACAUUAUGACAUUAGGAUAACAAAUGUUAUGAUCAAAGCUUACCUUGAUAAGGGUAUGAUAGACGAAGCUGAGGCUAUCCGUCAGAGCACCAUGUCUCAGGGUCAUUGCAAUGUAAGGACGGUUUACAUAUUUGCCGAGUUCUAUUCGGACAGAUCUGACGUUAC